UUUUUUAUUGCUCUGUAUCUCCAUUAUUGCUUCAUAUCUUGCAUCUUCCAGCUGUCGAUUUUAUCUUCUUCUAUUCCAGUAGUUGAAUUUCUAGGACAAUAUUAUCUUCUCCAUUACAUUUUGAACAUUGAUGGUCUGGAUAUUUAUGUCCAAUUAACUUGCAAUAUCUAGUGAAUAAUUCUUCCGAAAUAAUUUUUUCUCUAAUGGCUCUGGCGUUAGGUUUUUUCUCUGGAUUGAGUAACGUCAAGAUUCAUUGCCUAACGUCUUCCAUAUCUGCUUCUCGUAGUUCCUUUGAAUUUGAGUAUACUAUUACAUUACCUCUUAAAUAAUAACUCCAUAUGAGAUUUCUGUUGCGAUAAGUGUUUGCUAACUCUUGAAGAAUUGUGGAUAAUCCGAUAAUUCUCUUAUUUGCAUAAAAAUUUGGUAUCUCAAUUCUAGGUAUUUCUGAUUGUGGAAUAAUAUCUUCUGGUAUAAUCAUAUCUCGGGUCAUUCCUAUUUUUACAACUUGUAGAGGUGAUUUAAGUUCAUCAUACAAUAUCUCUGUUGUUGCCGUGUAAAAUUUUAUAAAAAAUAGGUUACCUUUGGUUAUUCUUUUAAAAAUGUUAAAUGAAUCAUAUAUUUCUGAUAUAUUGGAUAUUUCAUUUCCGUCUUGGGUAUAUAUGUUCUGAUAUAUUGGAUAUUUCAUUUCCGUCUUGGGUAUAUAUGUAACUAAGUAGUCCAUAUUCGUAACAGGUUUUAACUAGACUUGGUUUGGUUUUGGGUAAAGCAAUUAGCUUAUUGUAUUCGAUUAGCUUCUGGGUUAUGUAGUUCGUAUGUGGUUCUUGGAUGUUUAUAGCUCUGGGGUUGGUAUUUAAGAAGGUUUGUAUUUUGUAAAUAUUUUCUAUGUAUGCUCGGGCUGUAUAGUUGUAGGUCUUUUUGUCUUGGUUUAAACCAUCUCGGUAUGUGGUAAUUUGUGGGGGUAUGAACAUAAGAUCUUUUGGUGUAUUUGGAAUAAAUGGUUUAUCAAAUAGCCUAUUUAGGUUCAUAUUUGUGUUUUUUCUAACUCCUUUGCUUGUACCUACAGAAGCAGAUUGAUAAACGUUAAGGGUUUUAUGGAGUGUCCCAACGUCUCCUUCUAGCUCUGGAAUUUUAAUGUCUUCUGAUCGACAUAGCCCUGCACACUGCUGAGUUAGCUGAUUUAUAGCUAUAGACUUCAGUUUAACUUCAUUAGUCUUUAGCUUUUCUAUUUCAUUACCCAUACUGUCCACUUUCAUUGAAAGCGUAGUUAGGGUGUCGAAUAUCUUUUCUAGAGUAUCCUCUUCUAUUAUAUCAAUCUGUGUAGCUUUGUCUUGAUAUAUAAUCUGCAACAACAAUUUUGAUAGUACUAAUUACUUCAAUUGUAAAUGUGAAAUUUAAUAUAUUCAAGACUAGUCUCCAAAUCUCUUUUGUUGUAACUGAAUUUUGUAUUUUCUUUGUUAGCCACCAACAGAAUACACUAAUUACUUCAAUUGUAAAUGUGAAAUUUAAUAUAUUCAAGACUAGUCUCCAAAUCUCUUUUGUUGUAACUGAAUUUUGUAUUUUCUUUGUUAGACACCAAUGUACCUGUGUAUUUUGUUGGUGGCUAACAAAGAAAAUACAAAAUUCAGUUACAACAAAAGAGAUUCGAAGACUAGUCUUGAAUAUAUUAAAUUUCACAUUUACAAUUGAAGUAAUUAGUACUAACAAAAAUAUUGUUGCAGAUUACAUAUCAAGACAAAGCUACACAGACUGAUAUAAUAGAAGAGUAUACUCUAGAAAAGAUAUUCAACACCCUAACUACGCUUUCAAUGAAAGUGGACAGUAUGGGUAAUGAAAUAGAAAAGCUAAAGACUAAUGAAGUUAAACUGAANNNNNNNNNNNNNNNNNNNNNNNNNNNNNNNNNNNNNNNNNNNNNNNNNNNNNNNNNNNNNNNNNNNNNNNNNNNNNNNNNNNNNNNNNNNNNNNNNNNNNNNNNNNNNNNNNNNNNNNNNNNNNNNNNNNNNNNNNNNNNNNNNNNNNNNNNNNNNNNNNNNNNNNNNNNNNNNNNNNNNNNNNNNNNNNNNNNNNNNNNNNNNNNNNNNNNNNNNNNNNNNNNNNNNNNNNNNNNNNNNNNNNNNNNNNNNNNNNNNNNNNNNNNNNNNNNNNNNNNNNNNNNNNNNNNNNNNNNNNNNNNNNNNNNNNNNNNNNNNNNNNNNNNNNNNNNNNNNNNNNNNNNNNNNNNNNNNNNNNNNNNNNNNNNNNNNNNNNNNNNNNNNNNNNNNNNNNNNNNNNNNNNNNNNNNNNNNNNNNNNNNNNNNNNNNNNNNNNNNNNNNNNNNNNUCUAGUUAAAACCUGUUACGAAUAUGGACUACUUAGUUACAUAUAUACCCAAGACGGAAAUGAAAUAUCCAAUAUACCAAAAAUAUAUGAUUCAUUUAACAUUUUUAAAAGAAUAACCAAAGGAAACUUAUUUUUUAUAAAAUUUUACACGGCACCAACAGAGAUAUUGUAUGAUGAACUUAAAUCACCUCUACAAAUUGUAAAAAUAGGAAUGACCCGAGAUAUGAUUAUACCAGAAGAUAUUAUUCCACAACUAGAAAUAUCUAGAAUUGAGAUACCAAAUUUUUAUGCAAAUAAGAGAAUUAUCGGAUUAUCCACAAUUUUUCAAGAGUUAGCAAACACUUAUCGCAAUAGAAAUCCCAUAGGGAGUUAUUAUUCAAGAGGUAAUGUAAUAGUAUACUCAAAUUCUCAAAUUCAAAGGAACUACGAGAAGCAAAUAUGGAAGACGUUAGGCAAUGGAUCUUGACGUUACUCAAUCCAGAGAAAUAACCUAUCGCCACAGCCAUUAGAGAAAAAAUUAUUUCGGAAGAAUUAUUAACCAGAUAUUGCAAGUUAAUUGGACAUGAAUAUCCAGACCAUUAAUGUUCAAAAUGUAAUAGAGAAGAUAAUAUUGUCCCAGAAGUUCAACUACUGGAAUAGAAGAAGAUAAAAUCGACAGCUGGAAGAUGCAAGAUAUGAAGCAAUAAUGGAGAUACAGAGCAAUAAAAAGAAGACGGAGCAAUAAUAAAAAGAAGACAAGUUAAUGCUAGGAAGUGACAUAAAGAAGACAAGUUAAUGCUAGAAAAUGACAUGGGAGAUUAGAUAUCUUUCCUAAUUCAUUUACGUAAAUUAUUAGUUACUUUUUGACUUUUUGGCAAAAUGUCAUUACUAAGUUUUGUACUCUUGUAGAAAUAAUUUAGGACCUUUGUAAAUUUUUUUUUCUACUUUUAUAGAUAGGUGUAAAGACUUUUGUAAAGUAGGUAGGUAAUAGAUUAGGACAGAUGUAAAAAUGUAAAACGUUUACGGGUUUUCUUAAAAAUAUAAAUAGAAGAGCAUUUGCUCAGAAGAAGGCAAGCCUUCGUACGAUUGAAGCAAAAAAACUCUCUUGUCUACAACAAAUAAUUUGAUUAUUUAAAAAACAGGUAUAUUUCAAUGAAAAAAUUUAUGGAGGAACAAAGCUUAGAAUUAUCAAAACUACCACAACAGGUAUAUUCAUUUACUAUUAUGAAUAGCUAAAUUCAUAAAUUCCUAACAAUCAUGAUAUGAUAAAAUAAGUUCAUGUUAGUUGUUUUAUAGUAAAAUUAUUCGAAAAAUAGCAUGUUAAGAAGUUUAUUAGCAAAGUGAAAAAGGAGAAAAAUCUCUAAGAACUAUGUCAUCCUAAAGGUGAAACCAGUGAGGCAAGAAAGCCGUAAUAGGGGAGUAACCAGAGUAGAGGCGGCGUUUAAGAGAAAAGUAUCCAGAUUAUCAUGCUAAUAGUGACCGAAGAAUAUGUUAUUUAAGAAUAAUCUAUAGCAAUCUAAAGUGAUCAUAUUUUGUUAUGUGCAUGAUUGAAAGGAAUAUUUUGAAAAUAGCAAUUUUAUGAAAAAUGGAUGAUUAUUUAUCUGACGAAAUGGUAGAUAAAUUUAAAAUAUUCGUUUUAUAUGUACUUUAGAAUAUAGAAAUAGUAGAUAUAAGAAAAAUCAUAUUGAAAAAAAUAUUUGAUAGAUAUUUUAUAACUAGAAUUAAUUAUAUAUCACACCUACCAAACUACUCUUAUAAAUACUUACAUACCAAACCCACAUACUAAUUAUGAUAAAUUAUGUAUUUAGAAUCUUGGAAAAUAGACAUAAAAUACAUACAAUUUCUUAGUAAAAAUAUAGACAAUUAAUGAGAUUAAAACAAACAACUACAAGAUAUUAUAAUAAAGUAUUUAACCAAUUUUAAAUGAUAGAUAAUCUUAAAAUAUUAAUCUAAACAGUUAUACCUAGAUAAUUAUCUAGAUGGAUAUUAUUCAGAUUAAAAAAUGUUAGAAUAUAUUAGAAAAACUAGAGAAAACCAAGAUAAUCUAAAUGAAGAAAUUAAUUAUAGAAACUGAAUUAGAAAAAUAAUGGAGAAUCUAAAAGAAAAAUUAAUAUGGAUAGAAGAAACCCUAGAAAAUUUAGAAAAAAAUACAUGUGAUAAUUUAUAUAAUUUAAAAAACUCGCUAUGAGAAGAAUAACACAAGAUAAUAAAUAGCAUUGAGAACCUAGAAUUAGAUAUACAUUACAGUACAAUUAGGAUAACUUAUUAUACAGAAAUUUGUAAUUCUACAAUUACUACAGGAUAAAAUGAUAGACUAUAAAUAUUUAAAAUAUUGGAGACAAAAUAUGAAAGAAAUAAUAUUAUUAGAAAAACUUAUGAAAGAUAAUCUAAUUGAAUAUUUUGAAACAAAAGAUAUAGAAUAUUUAGAAUACCUUCAAAAUAAUAUAGAAGAAUUACAAAAACUAGGGGAAAAAAAUAAAGAAUACUAUAGUAAAGCAUUUAACCAAUUAUCAUAUAAUCACCCCCAAGAUAUGAAUCUGAAUAUCGAUAAAACUAACAUAAAUAUAUACAAAAUAAAAAUAUUUAGAGAAGUUAAGAAAUAUCCACGCAAAAAUAAAAAUAAAUCCAUUAUAUUUAUAAUAGAUGUAUUUUACCACACAAGUUAUCCGCACCCCUACAAUUGGCCAUUAAAUCAAUGAUAGAAAGCAUAUCAGUUAGAGUGGUACAUUAUUUUCGGGAAGGCAACACUAACUGAUUUUUUUACUAACCUAAUUUCUGAUUUCGAAGGUGAUUUUAAGUAUAACAGUUUAAAACAGGUGCCAAUGGGAGGAAGAAAUAUAAUUAAUCUAGAUAAAAAUGGGACUCCAAAUAUUAGAAGAACCACACAACAGACAUGAGACAAUAACAACAGCAACAAAUACAGAAGGCAUACAUCAAUCACAUCAGAUGGAGAAACAAUAUCAAGCAGAUUGGACAAUCAAGGCUCGUAAACACUAAGAAGAAUUAGAGUGUUACCUGGAACAUGCAACUGACUAGAGCAUACUCCUACUUGAAAUACAGUGGGGAAUCCAGUGUUGAUUAACCUCAAAUUACAAGAAUAAGGAAGUGUAAAAAGGUUAUAAACUAACCAAAUCGGGGAUUCUAUAAGGAGAUGAUGAUACCUGUCGUUUGAAAUGACUUCCUUUGAAUACAAAACCUGUAUCCAGUGAGAGUUUGAGACGUCGAUGGUCUGAGUAUUCAAAUAACAGCUAGGUCAGAUCCAUAAAAAUCCCUAGAGACCAUUAGAAAUAAUCCAGUACAUCUACAAAGUCUUUAAAACCUAAAUUACUUGGAUCUAUCUUCUAGAUAAGGUGCUUGUAUUAGCUUCCACAGAAGUUUAAUCCACCGAUCUAGGAGAGGGAAGAAAGUAAGAUAACGGUUAGAGACUUAGCUUAGAUGAUGAGGAUGAAGCUGGUGGUGACCUGAGAAUCAUAUGCGACAGAUAUGAAGUAUUGGUAUCACAAAGCUGAUCGGAGAAGAUGAAGAGACAACAAGAGGCGGAUGAGGAAAUUUACUUUCCUAAUUGACCUGGUGGCCUUUUGUAUACCUUAUCUUUGUUUUUUGGAUUCGGGUUAGGUCGCUUUUGGGCCUGAUCCGAUUAAUGUAAAGAUUCGUUUUAUUUUAUCAAAUGGGCUUUGGCCCGAUAUAUAUAAAAAUUGAUUUACUUUUCAAAUUUUAUGUGUGUCAUAUAAAUUGAACAAAAAAAUAGUAUAUAUUGAGCUCGCAUUUGCACGACUGGUGUAUCUGGUACUCUAAUAAUUAACGAGAGUCGAAAAAAUACCUUGUUGAAAAAGCAUACUUUUGAAUUGUGAUUUUAGUGAAGGAUCAAUAUAUAAUCUUGACAAAAACAAAAAUUAUACAUUCAGAGAAAAUAAAGGAAUAAGAAAAAGAAGAUCGCUGCUUCAUCGUCAUUUUCAACCAAGCAACAGAAUAAUUUGAUUGCAUCUGAACAAACAUUUGAAAUUUGAAUUGCCAUGCUCACAUAAUUACACCAGCACUUAAGACAGCUAAGCACUGUGAAUGAAACAUUAUCAGUGUUGAGUGUAUCUCUUUUAAAAGAAAAAAAAAAUGAACUAGCAUAAAAUACUUGGAGCCACAAUCAACUGCAAAGCUACCACUACAAUAUAUUUUAAGGGGUGGCAUAAAGAUAUAUACCUACGUCUAUAUCUUCAAUAUAUUUAAAAAUAAUUUAAAUUUUUUUACCCUUUCUUAAAAAGCUUCACAAUAGACAAAAUAAUUUUUUCAUAAAAAAAAAACAUGAGCUAUACUAAAAAAAUGUAUGAAAAGUUAAUGUAAGUCGAUUUUAUUUUUCCUUUUGUACAUUAAAAAGAAACUCCAACAGAUAUGAUAAAAGUAAAAAGUAGUAUUUAAAUAAUAUCUAUAUUAAGCAAAUAACUCAUCAUGUGCAGUAGGGGUGGGCAUUCGGUAAUUCGGUUCGAUUUUAUUUUGUUUUAAUUCGAUUUUCGAUUAUUGUAAUAGAUGUACCGAAAAUCAAACCGAAUUUGUUCGGUUUGAUUCGAUUUAUUUAAGUUCAGUUCGGUUAUGUUUCACUUUAAUAAUUUCGGUUUUUCAGUUUUGGGCUUAUUUAAUGGGUUAAAUUAAAUUUGUAAAUUGGACUAUUUUUUAAGAUUAAAAAUUAAUUGGAAUAUAUAAAAUUAAUUGCCCAAACCAUUUUUACACAAAAAAAAAAAACACUAGCCCAAUUUUUUGUUUCCACUUUUCAGACCAAAUUAAGAAGAUACAAUUACAAAUACAUUACUAAAGCAUUAAACUAUUAAAAUUUAAAGCCAAGUUUAUUGAGCUUGCAACCCCUUGCUUAAUUCAACUAUUGCAGAUUGUCACAUUAUAUUGUCACGUUUGAGGACUUUUUUUUUCAUAAUAUGAAACAACAUAGUGCACUUUUUUUAGUUUAGAAAGUGACAGUGUCCACUUAAAAAUAUAACAAACCAAACUAUAUAUUAUGUUUUUUUUGUCUCCAACUUAAUACGAACUUAGAAAAAAAUAUAGACUACACACUUGACUACAUGAGUCUGAGUCAUCUUUAUCACAUUUUAUGAUUUUAUGGCCAAACUGAUACUAGACUAUUAUUAUACUACACACUUGGAGAAACAAACAAAAAUUAGGAAUCCAAGAAUUUUGAGAUUUGUAAAGUGUUAAGACACUUAGACUAAUAUAGUAAUAACUAAUAAACUUGGGCUGAAUCAACAUUUCGCAAUUGGGCUGUAGUACACUAUUAAAUUAAUUGGGUUGUAGCUUGUAUAUUAAUAAUUUGGUUUAAACCGAAAAUCGAAAUAUACAAAAUCAAUAACCGAAUAUCGAAAUUAUAGAAAAAAAUAAACCAACACAGAACCGAAAUAUUGAAAAAUCGAAUUAGUUCGGUUCGAUUUGAUUUUUCGAUUUUCAGUAUUUAUACUCACCCCUAAUGUGCAGCACUUUUCUGUCGACGUCUUUGUUAAAAAAAACUUCUUUAUUUUAUUAUUUUCACACUCCAAUACUUGAUAACGGAUUCUCAACUCCAAUUGCUUUAUUAAUAUUACACAGUUUGAUUUUUAACUUGAUAUAAUCUAAUUUAUUUUGAAGCUUUAUUUAAUAAUUUUUGUGUUCCAUGUUAAAUUUUACUUUGUUUUUAUUUUCGUGAUAUCCUCUUAUUAAUUAUGUGUAUUUUUUGUUUCAAUCAUUUUAAAAAAAUUUAUUUUAUGUGUUUUACUAUUUAUCUUGUGUAUUUAUGAUAGUUGUUGUAUCAAAGCUAUAAUGUUAUCAAGCUCUUGAUAGAGAACUUUCGAUUUUCUUCCAUCAUAAUUUUUUAGGUAUCAUCUUCUACUUUAUUAUAAUUCAUUUUGAAGUAUGUUUUUAAGUACUCUGCUAUUAUUAUUUUUCUUUUUGGGAAAAGGUAUCGUUUGCAUCCCAAACUAUACCUGAAAAGUCGAAGUCACACCUAAACUAUACUAGUGACUUAUUAUACACCUAAACUAUAAAAAAGUGAAACUAUUUACAACCUGUCAGGCUACCACCACUUGCAUGUGGUGUAGUGUUUUACACGCGCUGUCACGUCAGCGCCACGUCAGUAAAAAGUAUCACUUUUUUAUAAUUAAGGUAUGUAAUAGGUCACUUAUAUAGUUUAGGUGUGGAUUCGACUUUUCGACUAUAGUUUGAGGUGGAAACGAUGCAUUUUUCCUUAAUGUUUUUAGCCGUUUACUUUUGUUAUUUAAUAGAUUGGACGCGCCUAAAAUAAGUGUAACACACGCGCCAUAGAAUGGGGGUUGCGAGGAGGUAAUAAUAUCACUUUUAUAUAGUUAAGGCGUGUAAUAGGUCACUUAUAUAAUUUAAGUGUGAUUUAAAUUUUUCUUGUAUAGUAUGAGAUGGAAAUGAUGUCUUUUCCUUUUUUUUUUUUUUUUGAAUUAAAAAUAUUAAAUGCUUCAUGACCAACCAUCAGACUCAAUGAUGUCUGCAACCUUUUUCUAGAAAACCAACAAAACAUCAACGUUUGAGAAAUAAAUAUUUAGUGUUGCGGAGAUAUGCAAAAUUAUAUUCCAUAUAACAUAUAUGAUAAUAUGACUAGCAGAAUAAUAUGCACAGUAAGAAUUUUGGAGAAACCACCCACCGAAAUAAUGAAUGCUAUGUUGGGUUUGAAAUUGAGAGGGUGUCAUACGGAAGCUACUAGUUAUAAAUUAUGAGACGAUAAAUCAGACGACAGAGAAAAUAAUACUAAAAAACAUAUAUUAUUAAUAUGAUUUGGUCAAACGACCUACAUAUAAAAAAUCUAUAUUGAAAAAUAUAAAAUUUAUUGGGAGAAAAUCUCCAUCUAAAUAAUACUACAUUGUGGAUGUUAUUAUGUUAUAAUAUAAGAAGAGGGUAUUCUAUUUAUAGAGUUCCAAAAUCUUUCCUCCACGAAAGAGGUUUGCCAAAUAUAGAAAAGUUUUAUAAUUUUCUUUUAGUAAAAGUAAAAGUAUUUAUGGUUACUUUUAUUUUCCUUACAAGAAAAAGUAUAACUUAAUUUGGGUAAGAAAAUCAGGGCAAAAACCAUAACAUACUAUAAUGGCAUGUAUGUGUAUUCUAAAAUUUAUCCUUGCUUUUUUUUGGUUAUACUAGAUAAUGAAGGGCUCGUUUAGGGCUUAAUAUUACAAUUUUAAAUAUAUUUAUAGCUAUUUAAUUAGCUUUUAAAAAAAUAAUCAUUAAUAUUUAAGAAUAAACACAAUAGAAAAUAUAAGUAGAAAUCACAUAAUAUAAUAAAAUAUAACUUUUUAUUUUUAUAAAAUCAAAUAAUAGCUUACAACUUAUUUAAGUGUUCAUAAUUAACAUUAGAAUAUCAUAUACACUAAUUUUUAUUUUAACAUUAGGUCAAACACAUUCUUUUAGAUUAAACAACUAAUUUUAAUAUUUUUCUUUUUCUACUUUAUUUAAAAAUUAUACAAGAGAAUAGAUUAAAGAUAUCAUUAUUAACAUUUUCUAUGGAAUCAUAUGAAGCAAUAACAGAUCAAAAUUCAUACAUAAAUUGACUUUAAUCACAUUUAAAUUUGUUUUAUGGAUUGUGGUAGGAUAUUUAAAGUCUUUCAGUGUCUUUUGCUUGGUACGUAGCAUUAGCUAUGUUGUCUUCAAAAUUUUAUUCAUCAAUUGUGUCUAUAUUAUCAUCGUCAUCUGUCUUUAGAAUACCUACAAAAUCAAUGCAAAAUAAAUAAAAUAUUAGCAAUAUUUUUUUUUUUUGAUGUUAAGAAAUCGAAUUCUAAAUAAAAAAUAAAAAAACCUAACCCCCCCCCCCUCCUCCCCAUAAAAAAAACUAUGCAUAGAAAAAAAAGUAUAGGAGGAACAGAAGUAAUUUCAAGGGGAUAGGUAUAAACAUCCAUGUAUUUUAGGAGUUUUAAUAAUUUUUUUCCAUUUGUUUUAGAAAAUUAAAGAGGGAAUAAAUUUUAGAUUCCUAUUUGACUUAUAAUAACUAACUAGUCUAAUAUACGUGCGUUGCACGUGUAGCUCCUGUCAAUCAAUAAUACUAUAAAUAAGAAAAAUAAAAUUAUUAAAAGGUAGAUAUUAGAAUAAAGAAUUAGGUAGCAAUCUAAUGAAGAUUUGCAUAUUAACUAACAAGUUAGUCAUUGAAAGUUUUGAUCUUUAUGACUCUUGACACUCAAUCGAGACUCAACCUUAACCGUAAAAUCAACUUCCAAGAUCCUGAUUCCUGACCUGACAUGGGACACGAAUUUGUAUCUUAACCUGUGGUUGAACUUACGGUCCAACUCCAUAUACCUUUAACUGCAAUUCCUGACUCUCGACCUUGAACCAAAUCUGAAGCCCUAGACUCGGGAUUCAACUUUGAUACGGGACCUACUCUAAACUAGAUUUCAAUCCCAAAACUCGAUAAUCGAUCCAUGACUCCAAUCGGGACUCAAGUUUCGAUCCAACUUCAGAUUCAAUUCUCAACAAAAUUAAAUAAAGAAAGAGAUAAAAUUUUAAUUUUUUCAACUACUUCAUUCACCGACGAUAUCUUUAUUUUGGCCAAUAUUCCAAUCAGAAAUUACAUUUUCCUCCAAAAUUCUAUUAGAAACUAAAUUUUUAAUAUAACAUAAAAAUAUAUAAAUUUUUCACGUUGUAUCAAUACAUGCAAUACUUUGUAAAUUUUGUGUAUUGCAUAUGUAUGGGUAUAUUGUUGAUCUAUUCAUUUUUGCACAUACAUAUUUAGAGUGAGUGAACAUUUGAAUCUUUAGUUCAUCCAAGAAAGCCUUGGCUUAAAGUUAGACAUGAUUAGUCUCUUUAAUCAAUUCAUAGACGUAGAAGUACCCAACAUAAAAUAUUUCACUUGAAUCAUAUAAUAAUUUAUUAAUUUAACUCUUUUAUUAUUUUUUUCCUUUUCAUCAUCCUAUCCCACCUAACAUAAAAUAUUUCACUUGAAUCAUAUAAUAAUUUAUUAAUUUAACUCUUUUAUUAUUUUUUUCCUUUUCAUCAUCCCCCCCCCUUAAAUUUGGUUAUAUAAGUAAUUUGACUUAUUUGUUUUUCUAAAUUCUUUAAUCAUUUUUUUUUUAAAUUUAAUAUAAAACUUCUUGGAUAAAAUAUAGGUGAGGUUUAAAUUAUGUCUUUUGCAGUUAAAAUUUUAUAUUUUUUAGUGGAAGAUUUGAAUUCUAAAAAAUCUACACGUAAUUUAAUCAUACUUUAAUCAUACUGCAUUAGAAGUAAAUGGCACAUAAAAGUACGCCAUUACAAAAAAAAUAUGACUCAUAAAGCAAAAAGAAUUUGACAUUUUAUUCGAAUUUAUGACCUAUAUAAAAAGGAGAGAAUAAUAUAUGUUUGCAUAACUAAAGUAACUUUUACAUUAUUUAUUCGAGAACUUGUCUUAUGAACAUUUAUUUUGUCCUCAAAUAUAUUUUGGCUAUUAAAUUAGAGUAGGAAACUGUAGAGAUAUUUAUCAGAAAAGCAGUCAAAUUCGCUAUCUUUAAAGGUAAACUUUAGACACAAGUCAUCCCCACCCGACAUCACCCAAUAUGAAGAAACAAACACACAAAAAGUUAAAAGGAUUUAACAUCUACUUCAUAUAUGUCAAAAUAAUUUCAAUCAUAUACUCCAUAAAUGGUGUAGCUCUUCUGACGAAGAAAAUAUGGAUAAAGCCCCCUUACCUUACAAAGCUCAGCCCUGCCCUUCACACACAAAAAUAUGAAUUGUUAGUGUAAUAAAAUUUUUAUAUUAUCAAAUCAUCUAAAAAUAUUUAGAGACAAAAAGUAGUUAAAUAUGAAAUGUGAAAUUUGGAAAGCAAGACAAAGUUACCUGCUAAAACAAUGAUUUGAUGAAUGUGACUUAAACUCACAAUAAAACUAAACUUGAUGUAUAUACUUAAACUUAAAACAAAACUAAGACAAUUUCACCAACUAAUACUACUGCAGUACGAAAAAAAUUCAACAGAAAACAUCACCACGCUCUUUUUUCUCUUUCAACACUUUAUAAAAGCCUCCCUCUCCCAUUCCUUUUUCUUUUACUUUCCCAAUCAUAUCACUGCAGACUGCAAGAGCUUUAAAAGAUGUUGAAAACGGAUAACAACAUAACACUAUUAGUUUAUUUUCUUCUUGUGAUCAUUUUAGUGGCUGAUCAUAAUCACUAUGCUCUUAAUGUUAAGUCCUAAUUUAUUUUUAAGAAAUUUAGUUGGAGGAAAAAGGUGAAAAGACAGAUUGUCAAAGAGUUUGAAUCACCUUUCUAAGGGUCUUACCUUUUGCUCUUAAUUCGUUGCAACCAUAUAUCUUUUCUAGGAGCUUUCACCUUCGAUCGAACAUUAAUCUAUAAUAUACACUUGAAAUUAAUGAAAUUAUUAUAAACCGCACCUUCAAAGCUCAUCGAAAAAAUAGUUAUAAAAAUAUCUCUGCCACCAACAUUCCUAAACCAAAAAAAAAAGCUGAAAAAAAUAUAAUAUAAUAUAAUACAAUAAAAUACGAUACAUUAUAAAAUAUUAUGUAAUAAAUACCUCUGGACUUGGCCUUUAACCUGGUUGGAGAACUCAUUGAGUACACUGUAAAAACCAUUAUCAACAGUAGCCAAAAACCACUAUCUCAUCACUUUUGGCUCCUCUAACCUCUCCUUAUCUAAUUCGUUCUUCACUGCCUAUAUAUUCAGCCUUAGCUACAAACUUCAAACAUUAUUAAAUCUUACUUAGCAAUCUAAAGAGUCAGAAAACCAAAAGCAAAGAAAACAAGAGUUACAUUUUAGGAGAAAUUAAGUCAAAAUGAGUUCAAGCAGGAGAGAAUGGAUAGUAGCUACAAGUAUUGGAACAGUUGAAGCGUUAAAAGAUUAAGUUGGAUUAUGUAGAUGGAAUUACCCAUUAAGGUCUUUGGCACAACAUACAAAGAAUAACAUAAGGUCUUACAGAAUAACAUAAGGUCUUACCCUCAAGCCAAGAAACUUUCUUCUUGACUAAUUGCAAACAAAGCAGAACAAUCUGAAGUUAUACAAUAUGAUAUAAUAUAAUACAAUACUAUACAUUAUAAAAAAUUAUAUAAUAAAUACCUGUGGUAAUUAAAUGGAUAAACAUGUUACAUGUGUGCUUCACGUCGAAUCGCCAAUCGAUAUAAAAUAUAUAAAAAAAUAAAUAAAGAUAGUCACGUAAAUAAAAAAUUAUUUUUAAACAUCACAUAACAAAUAAUAAAAACAAAAACAACAUAUAGUGAGAAAUUCGAAAACAAACCUGUUGUAAUGGAACUAAUAUUCGAUGUAAAGUAUGAUUACUUUUAUAAAUAAGCAAAUCACGUAAGAGUUUUUUGCUAGCCAUAUUCCAAUUGUGUUGUAUUUGUUUAAAACUAAAAGGAGAGGAUAUAACAACAUUUGAAAUCAUACAAUCACAAUAUCAAUUAUGAAUUACCGAUGUAACUUAAAAAUCAAUAACAAUAAUCUCAUAAGUGUGAUCUAAAAAGGAUAGGAUGUUCGAAGAUCUUACUCUUUGCAUGAAAGUGAGAUUAUUUUCAAUAGUCCCCGAUUCAACAAAACAUAUAAUAGAAUAACGAAUAAAGCAAGUGGUCAAUAGUUGUGCUAGAUUUUGACAAGAAACAAACAAUACGUUGAGUAGGUUGAGAAAUUACCGUAGUGAUGUAACAAUAUGGUCCCUGCGAGCAAUGUUAUAACCUAUUUGUGGUGGCAUUCGAUCUCCAUCUAUCAAAGUUUGCACAGAGACGAAGAAGCGGCCGUGUCAAGUAUGUUAUUUCAAAAUUUGAUCAUAAUAUUACUUAAAUAGAAUUGAUUUUUUUAAUUAUUUUAUAUAAGGUAAAGUUUUAAUUGAUUUAGAAGUCAAUUGUUAUGAUUUCCUAUCUACAUCAAACAAGGACUUUCAUUAAUUUUUGACAUAUAUAGUAUUCUUUUCAUAUAUUUUAGGAGUCAUUAAUUUCUUUUUAUAUAUAUUUAGGGGUCCUUAAUUAAAUUAAAAUUAUAAACAUUCUUUUUUUAUAUGAAGUGAAACUCUAAUUUAUUUAGAAUUGUUAAAUAUUAUUAUUUCUUAUCUAAAUUAAAUAAAUUUUUUAAUUAAUUUGAAAGUCUUAAAUCUUUGGACAAUCAUUAUACCGUCCUUUUUUUUGCUUCUUAAUUUUUUUCCUUUUCAUCCAUAAUUUUCUUUUUAUUACUAUUAAAUUUUUUUCCUUUUCAUGCCUAGCUUUUUUAGGUAGGACUUUCUGUCCCCACUAAAUAUUUGACACAUUUAAUUUUAAAGAGACUUUUUCUUUCCUCUAUUAACGAAUUUCCCCUUAAAUUUUGUUGCUUUUAAUUCCUUUUCACAGGCCACUUCUUAUUUGUUUUUUUGGUAUUAUAUUUUAUUUUUUGAAAAAUUUUCUUCUAUUAUUCUGAUUUUUCCUCAAAUUUCGACAUUUAUAGUUCCUUAUUUAAAUAGAAUUAUAGAUUUGUUUUUUUAUAUAAGGUAAAUUUUAAUUGACUUAAAAGUGUUAAAUAUUAUGAUUUCGUACCUAGAUCAAAAAGGACUUUAAUCAAUUUUAAAAUAUUAAAUAUUAUAUAAUUUAAUAAUAUGAUAAUUGAAGAAAAUACGUUAAAAGACACCUUUGUCUAUUGCAGGGACUUUUAAUAAAGGGCAAAAAGUUCAAAUCACUUUUCUAAGGGUCUUCACACUUUUAAUACAUUAUAGAUAUAGAUUAUAGAUAAGUCAUUUGUUAUAACUCAAAAAGGACUUAUAAGUUAGUAGAAACGUACGAAAAGAUCUCUGAAGAAUAUAUAUAUAUUAUUAAUAUUUAUGUAUAGUUAGAAUUUUAAAGAAUAGUAAAAAGACGAUUUUGUCUAAAGGAGAGUGUUUUAAUGAAUAGAAACAAGUUUGAAUCACUUUUAUAAGGGUCUUCACACUUUUAAUAUAUUAUAGAUAUAGAUUAUAUAUAUUAUUACUAUUAUAUUAUAUUAUUAUAUUAUAGAAGUUAGUAGAAACGUGCGAAAAGAUUUCCAAGGAAAAUUUUUCACUUUGUUAAUGAAGGAAAAUUUCUUUUGAGUUUUUCUUAGACAUUUUUAGACGUUUUUUUCCCCAAAAAUAAAGCAACUGUCUAAAGAUGGGACAAAUUUGUUAUUUUAGUGUUAUGUUGAAUUCUAUUUCAAACAAGUUGUAUAGUUCUAGACUAAUAAAACAAUUUUGUUUUACUUCUACGAUUGUAUUUAUUUGCCAAAUAUAAGGUACUAUAAUUAGGACUCUUUUUAAUAAUGGUGUUUUUUUUGUUUUUCCAAAAUCAUAUAUUAUUAGUAUUUAUGUAUAAUUAUAAUUUUUAAAAAUAGUAAAAAGAUGAUUUAGUUUAAAGUAGAGUUUUUAAUGAAGGGUAAAAAGUUCGAAUCACUUUUCUAAGGGUCUUCACACUUUUAAUAUUACUAGUUUAACCGCUCGUGCCUUGCACGUGUAACGUUCGAUUAUUUAAAAUCAAAUAAUUUUGCCAAUUGCAGAGAUUUUUAAUGAAGUGUAAAAAAUUUAGACCGCUUAUCAAAUAUUCUUUAACACUUUAAUAAUAAUAAUAUAAACAUAAACAUAUAUUUUAGUGUAAGCAUAUAUAUAUAUAUAUAUAUAUAUAUAUAUAUAUAUAUAUACAAAAUCAUUGAUUACAUUCUUAUUACGUACUUAAAAAAUUUUAAAAUUUGGUACUUCUUAAAUUUUUUUAUUUUUUUUUAUAUUUAUUUUUAGAUUUUUUAAAUCUUCUUAAAAUCUAAUUUAGUUGAUUUAGAAUUCUUAAAAUAAUGAAAAAAUAUUAUUUGUUAUUAAUUUUGAUGACUUCUAAUAAGGAAAGGUUUUACCAUAAAUAUAUUUAAUUAAUUUUUAGCUCUUAAAAAUUAGGAGAAAAUAGUGAAAAGACGAUUUUAUUUAAAGCAAAUACUUUUAAUGAAGGGCAAAAAGUUCAAACAAUAUUUCUAAUCUCUUUUAUAUAUAUAUAUAUAUAUAUAUAUAUAUAUAUUACAAUAUAGAUAUUCAAUCAUGUUCUUAAAAGUACAUAAAUUAUCAAUAUUUUCUGAUAAACAUGACAAAAAAUGAUAAUGAACAUUACACUUUGCGGUAGUUUAUUUUUUAAACAAAAUAUAAAAUCAAAGAAUAACUUAUAACUUAGUUAAGUUGCAACAACAAUGAUUACGUAAUAUAAUUUCAGACACAAAUGUUGAAUUAAAUACAAACUUUAAGUGCAAAUUUUAUAUAUUGAAUAUAAAGUAUGUAACAUCCUUCAAUUAUAUGAAUUAACUUAAAAAAAAAUUAGUAAACCUCAAGCAUGUUUCAAUUGAGAUGGAUAUGUUCCAUUAAAGAAUAUGACAUAUUUUAUUUGGUUAACUUAACUACCUAACAAAUAUUUAUCAAUAUACACAUUUUAUUUUUGUAAAAUUUGAAUAAAAAUAUGUUAUGAUUUUUAGUUUUUUUAUAACUUACUUGUCUAGAUUUAGCUGAUAAAAACUUUAAUACAAUUUCUUUGGUGUACGAUUUAUAUUGCAUAUAAAAUAAGCUUUAAAGUUUUUUUUUUGUUGCUCAAAUAGCAAAAAAUAAUAUUAUUAUAUUUGGCUAUCAACAUAAAAAAUUUAGAAAAUCAAGUUUGUCAUUUAGUAUGUUCUUGAAAUUUAUUAAUAUUUUCUUUUUAAAAGAAGAUAAUUUGCAUAUAAAAAAAUUAUUCCCACUUUCUUAUUUGAGAUAAAAGAAGUAUUAAUCUUAAAUUUGCUCGUGAAUGGGUCCAAUAUUACAGUAUAGAUAUGAAAAAAUUACAAAAAGUAGCUUAUUUAAGACUAUAAUUAUAAUAAAUAGCAACACUUUUACAAAAUUACAGUUUGUAGCAAGAUUAACAUUAUUUUGCCCAUUAACUAGACAAACAUCUGUUUUGCUCCCACUACUUUACCUUUUCCUGUUUUCACUCCACUAUUUCACUACUUCCCCCCCUCCCCCCUCCCCCCAAUAUAGCCGUAUCUUCUACUCUUUUAUUUCAUCUUAUUUUUUUUAUCAUUUUAUUUAAUUUUUUUUAUUUUUUUUCCACUUUAUUUUCUCCCUCUUCUAUUUCUCUUCUUAUUUUCCUUUUUCGUUUUUUUAUUUUUCAUUUUCUUUUUUUUUUCCUUCUCAUAUUUGAAGAUAAUUAUCUUCAUGAUCUUAAAAAUUUUGAAAAAAAACAUCAUUACUGUUUUUUUUCUCUCUUUCACUCUCUUAUAUCUCUAAUUUUUUUUUCUUGUUAGUUUUUUUCAACUUAUUUUUUUAUCAUUUUAUUUUUUUUCUUUUUCAUUUUUUCUUUUCCACUUUAUUUUCUCUCUUCUAUUUCUCUUUUUGUCUUUUUCAUUUUUUUCUUUAUUUUUUUCCUUUCUCGUAUCUUUUUUUCUUUUUCUAUUUUCGUUUUUUUUCUAUUUUUUGUUUCUUCUUUUUUUCUUUUAUUUUUACACUUCUAUUUCUCUUUCUUCUAUUUUUUUUUCAUUUUUUUCAUUUUUUUUAGUUUUUUACUCUUCUAUAUCUAACUUUUAUUUUAAAAAGACAAAUGUGUAUAUUACAUACACAUAUUCAAAAAAUAUACAAAUACAUAGUCAUACAGAUCUGGAUAUGUAUUUACAGUACAAAACAAACAUAUGUAUCUACAUAUGUAUUUACAAAAAUACAUAUCUCACUCAUAUGUAUAUAUAAACAUAUAGGACACAAAAUCUCUAUAAUAAAAAGGACAACUAUAUAUAUAUACAUAAUCAAAAAAUACAUGAUACAUGUCUUAAAUAGUAAAAAAUACAAAUAAAUACAUAUGUUACCAUCUAGAAUGGCAUAGAACAGUUCAAAGACAAAUUCAACACCAUACAAAAAUACAUAUAGAUAUGCAUUUAUAUAUACAAAAUACAAAUACAUUCAAUGCCCCAAAACAAUUUAUAAUACAUUUGUGACAUAAUACAUCUACCUAAUUGUGCUUGAACUGCAUAUUUCUUCUUGUUCAUGUAGACACCACAAAUAUUCUUAUGAAAAAAAAAUCGUGUACUGCUCCUUUGAUAACAUCGCCUUAAUAUGUUCUUCAAUAUCAUUGACUAUGUGAAUUUUUAUAUGUGGUGCAAACCUUGGAAGUACUCUUACCAUGAAUAUAUCACGCAAUACCUAUAGAACAAAAUAAUGACAUAAAUCUAUAUUACAUGUACUUUUCACAAAAAUUUAAUACAAAAUACAUAGUAUACAUAUAUAUUUUUUUUUACAUAAUAUAUAUUACAUUACAAACAAUACAUAUAAUUUCUACAUAUGUAUUUACAGAAUAUAUGUCUCAUUCAUAUGUAUAUUACUAUACAAAAAAUACAAAUAUGACUUUGCUAUGUAUUUACGAAAUACAUAUCAUAUUCAUAUUAAACAGUAACAAACAUAACUAUACUAUAUAUCUUCAUAUGUAUUUGCGAAAUACAAAGGCGACUCAUAUAAAACAAGAAUAUACAUAUGGAUCAGGUAUGAAUUCUGUAAAUACAUAUGCAGAGCUAUAUGUAUUUUGUACGGUGUUGGAUUUGUCUUUGUACUGUUCUAUGUCAUUUUAGAGGACAACAUAUGUACUUAUUUGUAUUUUUUACUAUUUAAGAUAUGUAUCAUGUAUCUUUUGAUUACCUAUAUGUAUAUAUAUUUAGUUGUCCUUUUUGUAUGUACAAAUGCAUAUACAUAUGUAUUUUUGCACAGUGUUGGAUUUGUCUUUGAAUUGUUCUGUGUCAUUUUAGAGGGUAACAUAUAUACUUAUUUGUAUUUUUUACUAUUUAAAAUAUGUAUCAUAUAAUUUUUGAUUACCUAUAUGUAUAUGUAUAUAGUUGUCUUUUUUGUUAUAGAGAUUUUGUGUCCUAUAUGCUUAUAUAUACAUGAGUCAGAUAUGUAUUUUUGUAAAUACAUAUGCAGAUAUAUAUGUGUAUUUUGUACUAUAAAUACAUAUGCAAAUCUGUAUGUCAAUUUAUUUUGUAUAUUUUUUAAAUAUGUAUAUGUGAUAUAGAUAUUUAUCUUUUAAAACUAAAAGAUAGAGACAGAAGAGUAAAAAAAAAGAAAAAAAUACAUAGAAAAGAUAAAAAUCGAAAAAAAAUCUGAAAAAGGUGAAAAAGGAGAAAAAAAUAAAGACAAAUAGAAGUGAAAAAAAAAAGAAAAAACGGAAAAGGAAAAAAAAUGAGAAAGGAAUAAAAUAAGAAAACGAAAGCGAAAAAAUAAAGAAAAAAAUGAAAAAAGAAAAAAAAAAAAGAGAAAUAAAAGCGGAAAGAAAAACGAAAUCAAAAUUAAAAAUUAAAACAAUAAAAAAAGAUGAAAAAAAACUAAAAAGAAAAAGAGUUAGAGAUAUAAGAGAGUGAAAGAUAGAAAAAAAAAUAGUAAUGAUGCUUUGUUUUGAAUUUUGAAGUUGAUGAAGAUAAUAAUCUUUCAUAUAUGAGUUUGAUUUGGAAAAUGAAUCUAUUAGUUGAAAUAAGAGUAAUUUAUGAAAAAAAGAAUCUAUUGCAGUAAUUUAUGAAAAAGAAAUUUACUGAUUCCUUAUUUAACUCAAUUGAUUUGAGUAAAAGAAGGACAAUAAAUCUCGUUUUAUAUGUAUUUUAGUAGCAACACUUUAAUAAAAUACAAAAUAUAACUUUCUAUUUUUUGUAAUUAUGAAACAGUUGCUAUAAAAGUUCUAAUUAUAGCUAUAAGUUUGGUACUUAUGAAAAAUUCUCAGAUAUUCAGUCAUGUUCUUAAAAAUAAAUAAAUUAUCAAUAUUUUCAGAUAAACAUGACAGAAAAUGAUAUUGAACAUUACACUUUGCAGUAGAUUAAUUUUUUUGUUUUUUUAUAUAAAAUUAAAUCAUAAUUUAUAACUUAGUUAAGUUUCCACAACUAACACAUUAAAAAAUUACAUAAUAUAAUUUUAGACACAAACGUUGAAUUAAAUAACAAACAUUAGGUGCAAAUUUUAUAUCUUGAAUAUACAAUAUGUCAUAUCCUUUAAUUUAUGAAUUAACCUAAAAAUAGGAGUUAACCUCAAGCAUGUUUUUGUUGAGAUGGAUAUGUUCAAUUGAAAAAUAUGACAUGUUUUAUUAGGUUAACUUAACUACCUAAUAAAUAUUUAUGAACACACAUUUUUUUUUUUCAAAUUUGAAUAAAAAUAUAUUACAAUUUUUAGUUUUUUCAUAACUUAUUUGUCUAGAUUUAGCUAAUAAAAACUUAAUAUAAUUUCUUUGGUGUACGAUUUAUAUUACAUAUAAAAUAAGCUUUAAAGAUUUUUUUUGUUGCUCAAAUAGCACAAAAUAUUAUUAUUAGAUUUUGCUAUGAACAUAAAAAUUGUAGAAAAUCAAAUUUGUCAUUUUGUAUGUUCUUGAAAUAUAUUUAUUUUUUUUAACUAAUAAAACACAAAAUUACUCAAAAAAAUGUGAUUAUGAAAUAUAUAAAAUAAAUUACUCCAACUUAGGAUUCAUAUCAAAGAGGGGCACAUAAUUUAUGAUCAAAUAAAAUAAGAAUGGGUGGAUAGUGGGGCCUACAUCUGGGGUCUAUGUUUUGAGAGAAGAAAAAUAAGGUGAUAUUGAUGACAUAAGUAUAGGGGGUAAAUAGGUCAAAAUAUCUAGAUCUUUCUUCUUGAGCUACAGUAAAGCUCCUUUUUCAUUUUUUUGGUAACUAAUAUUUUAUUAUUCACCAAGUGGAGAAUUACAAAACCGUAGAGGGUUUAUAACUCAACCAUCUACCACUCAGUUUGUCAUAUUGCCAUUGCCUAGGGGCAUACAACAAAUCUAUUGGUUAACACUUUCAAUCUAGGUGGUGCUCGUAUAUCAUUGAUCGUCCCUCAUACUCAUCUUUCUAUAUAAUAAAAAAAUAUAAUAAUAUAGAGUUACAUGUUAAACAUCUAAAAUGUCAUUAUGUUAGCUUUUAAAUUAAAUAAUGCCCUUGGUCUCGUUUUAUGGACCCAAUAUUACAGUUUUAAAUAUAUUUAUCAGUAUUUAAUUUGUGUAUCAAAAAAAUUAAAUUUAUAUUUUUAAAUAAAUACGAUAGAAAAUAAUAAUAAUAGAGAUCACACGUUAAAAAAACUAUCUAUUUUUUAUUUUUAUAAAAUCAAUUAAUAGCUUACUACUUAUUUAAAUUAUCCUAAUUAAAGUUGAAAUAUAAUAUACUUCAAUGCUUAUUUUAACAUCAGGUCAAACACAUUUUCCUGAAUUAAGUAGCUAAUUUUAAUGUUUUUAUUUUCAAUUUUAUUUGAAAAUUAUACAAGAAAAUAAAUUAAAAUUAUAAGCGCCAAUAUAUUAAUAUAUUUUUUAUAAAAUCUUAUAAGCAACAUUUUCUUAAAAUAUGGUCUUUUUUACCUAAUAUACUAUAUAAAUAAAAGUAAAUAACGUUUUUAUAUUAAGGAGAUAAGAGAUUGUUCUUAUACAAAUAACUAUAUCAUACAUUCAUUUUCAUAAUGAAAUAAUAUAAAAAUACUAAAGAUACAUUACUGAUAGUUGAAAAUUAUAUAUAAAAAAAUAGAGCACAAAUCAAAUUAACAUUGGUGGAGUUAAACUUUUUAUUAACAAGAUUAAAAAUAUAUAUGUUAUUUAAUGUUAGUUUAAAGUUAUUUUAUAUGCAGGUUAAUUUAUAUAUUAUAUCGUACUCUCUAUUUUUCUUUUUAUUUGCUUUAUUUGGGUUAGACACACACUAUAAUCUCUUGCUCCUAUAAAGUUAAAAGUAAUUUCGAAGUCUUAUAUGAAUAUUACAUAUGCAAUUCUUUUUUAUUCUAGUAAAACAUUUAUAGACUGAUUUAAUGAUAUUUUUUAUAAAAUUAUUAAUGAACAAAAAAAAAUAUCUUUAAAUAUGUUAACAACUUUAAAUUUUAACCUACCAAGUUCAUGCAUGAUAAAUUUUUUGAGCAAAAAACUAAAAUAUUAAAAUCUUGGAGUAUUGAAAAUUUUGACGGAGUCGGAAUUUUCACUUAGAAAGUUUAAAAUAUAAGAAAAUAAAUAAACGAAGAAAAACAAAUUCAACAUUUAACACAUAAAAAUAAAAAAUAAUUUUAGUUCUAUAUAAACAAUCUAAUAUUUCAUGAAUGGAGAUUCAAAUUAUAAAUUUAAAUUUAUUUAAAAUAUUACUUCAUAAAUAAUGUGGUUGAAAUAAGUUGAGACUUGAAAGUAAAAAUAUUGUUAGCUACAUAAUAGGUUCACUUAGAAAAUGUAGACACAAAAGCUAGAAAAAAAAAGAAAUGACUAAUGGAGUUCUUUGUUGAUAUUACUAUUGACUAAUAAUUGUACCAUUUAGAUGUGAAAUGACAAAUAUACCCUUGAUCGUCCUCCGACUCACUCUUUUAUAUAAUAAUAAUAAUAAUAAUACUAAUAAUAAAUACUAGAUAGGUAUUGGCCGUGCUGAGCACGGCCUAACACACUACAUUUUGAUAUAUUUUUAGGAGAAUCAUACCGGAACUUAAUUUAUUAUUACUAUUCAAAAUUCCAGCCUUUUUAAAUAAUUAUAUAAAUCUUUAAUUUUACUUAAAAGCUUAAAUAUAUCAUAAAAGAAUGUAAUGUAUUCAUGUAGAAAUAAGUGAUUAUGUUUAUGUAAAAUUAAGUAACUUAUCCGAAAAGUGGGAUAUAUUAAGUGAAGCAUUUGAAAGAAUGUGAUGUAUUCGUACGAAUUAAAUUAGAGGUUUUAAAUAAUUUUGAAAAAAAAUUGAGAUAGAGAGUAAUUAUCUCUAAGAGGAUUAAGAGUUAGGUAAUUCUACAAUUUUCUAUUAUAUGGUUUGUAUUGGUAAUGAAGAUAAAAGCCCUAAAACAUCAAUGUACUUAACAAAGUGCAAAAUAACAUGGUGAAUAUGACAUUUUCAUGUACAUGUAUGAAAUAAAAAAAAUAUUACAAAACGACUUUCAGAUACAUCUUGGUAAUAGCUGAUGUAAUACCAAAAAAUAAAUCAUAGAUAAUAUUAAAAAAUUAUUGAUAAUAUUUGUGAAUGUUAAAAUUCAUCACAAGCACAUGAAAUCAUCAUUUUCUGUUACCAGGAGGCACGAUCUAUCUUGGUAAUCAAACUUUUUAUCAUUCCAAAAAUCACAAGGAGAAUCUUUGGAUUACCUUCAAGAAGUAAGAAAAUACCAACCAUAAAAAAAUUGAGAGAAAAGCAAAACACAAAUAUCUAGCAAAAAAUAACAGAAUAUAAAAAAUCAAAUGAGAGAAACAUUGAAAAGAGGGAACUAAUGCUUUUAAAAUUCAAGAAGUAUGGCCUUCCAAAAAAAAUAAAAAAGAAUGCUUCCUUAAUUUAGUAAGGUGACCAACUAAUAUAAGGCAACUAUUUUUGGUAAAAUGACAAACUAAUAUGGGAUGAAAGAAGUAUUAAAGAAGCCAUUCAUUACAAUUUAUUUAUUCUUCAUAAUCCUUUAUACCGAUAGUAAAAAUAAAAAGACACCCUAUACACUAAAGAUCCCGCUAUGCGCAAGGUUCGAAAAAGGACCCCACCACAAGGGUGUAUUGUACGCAGCCUUACUUUGCAUUUCUGUCAGAGGCUGUUUUCAAACCUUGAACCUGUGACCUCCUGGUCACAUGGAAACAACUUUGUUUCCAAGGCUUGAACCCACAACCUUACAUGGGAACCACUUACUCCAAGGAUCCCCUUUAACGUGAGACUAAUUUUGGACAAAAUUAAUAUUUUUUAACUCUACCUCAUCUUCAUUGAACUUUCCUGCAUCAAAUGAGUUCAAAGAGUUCUCCACCACGUGCAUAUUCCAUAACAAUGGAAAGAUGAGUGGGAGUUCACAUAACCUGGAUCUCACCAAAUAAUGAAAAUUAAGCCAACUUUUUCUCAAUUUUUUCUUGCGAUUUUUGAACCAAGAAAAAAUCCAUGAAAGUAAUAGAGCAUUACAAAAUGGUAGUGAAGAUCUACCACGUUUCCUUGCAUCUAAUUCAGAUUUUAAUCGUAUUGAAGCUGAAUAGCACCAUAGUUCAUCUUUGUCACGCCCCGAAUCUGAUACCCGGAACGCUACACGGUGCCCAUGACCCCGAAGGACCACAAGCUAACCCAUGACUGAUAUAUGUAAACUAAGCACUGAAUAAUAGUAAUAAUAUCGUAAAUACGGAAACAUUAACUGAAAGGCCAUAAGGUUCAAUACUAGUACAUAACUGAAAAAUGUGGUAUAACAAUACCAAAACAACUGAGAUAAUUAUCUAAACAUACUGUAGUCUGAAAGCCUCUAAAAUGUCUAAAUAAGGAGUUGAUGAGACAUGUCCCCAACUAACUCCAACUACUGCAAUAGACUAAAAAAUGAAAUUGUAAUGUGAUCAUCAUGUCCUCGAAGGAUGAGGACUCACUGCUAACUCUGAUCACUGAACUGGGAUGCUAGAUAGGACUGAGAUCCCUAGAAGCAAUCCCUAAGUUCCAGAACUAUGUAGCCAACGUAGGUACGAGAUAUCACCCGUUAGAUAAGACUGACAUACUUAGGGAUCACCCGUUAGCGUAUUUAAAUGUAUAGGACUGAUCCCAGGGGUCAUCCGCUAGAUUAGGACUGACUCCACAGCAGUUGUCUUUACCAGUGGCACGGUACUGACACCCUUCCAGCUGGGGUUACAGGUUGGACCCCAGUUAGCUUAGUAUGGGGCAUGUCGGUUAGAUGAAUACAUCCCAUAAUUUUAGUUACAGAAUCAGGGCUCAGAUACAGUUAAUUCAGUUCAGUAGUAUAGAUUUAGGACUAUCAGACACAGUCACUCCUUAUCAUUUUAAAUAGACUCUGGGAUCACCCACUAGAUAGGACUGAUCUCAACUAUGGUCAAUCAGUAAUGGUAUCAUCAGAUUUAGAGAUCAUUCGCUAGAUAGGACUCAUCUCAGGUUCAGUUACUCAGAUACAAUACGAAACUCAGCUAAUUCCAUCAGAUUCAGGACUGUUAGAUACAGUUACUCAUGUUAUUAGUUAUAUCAGUUAUCAGAACUUAUGUUAUUAAUAUUCAGCUUCAGGACUGUCAAAUACAGUCAACCAGACCAGUUCUUCAUAAUCAGAACUGUCAGACACAGUUAUCCAUUUAUUAAUAACAUAGUAUCAGUCCCUUAGUAUUAAGUAAUACAGUAUCAGUUUCUCACUCAUCAGUGACUCAGAUGUUAAUGUCAGUAGAUUCAGUAGUCAGAACUUAAUAUUCAGUCCUAUCAUGAUCUCAGUUACAGUUACGUAUGUAUGCAUGUAUUCUCACGUUUAUGUUAGUCAGUCAGUUAGUAUUGUUCAUGCAUAUGAACCUAUUACAUUCAUCCUACCUCACUUGCAUACCAGUACAUUAAAAGUACUGACCCGUUUGUGCUAUGGUGUCUUAUACCAUAGGUUUAGAAGCACGAGCUCCAGAGAAUUAGUAGUACCCAGUUCAGCGAUCAGAGUUAGCAGUGAGUCCUCAUCCUUUGAGGACAUGAUGAUUACAUUACUAUUUUAGUUUUCAGUUUAUUUUAGUAGUUGGAGUUAGUUGGGGACAUGUCCCAUCAACUCCUUAUUCAGACAGUUUAGAAGUUUUUAGACUAUAGUAUGUUCAGACAAUUAUCUCAGUUGUUUUGGUAUUAUUAUACCAUAUUUUUCAGUUAUGUACUAGUAUUGAACCUUAUGACCUUUCAGUUCAUGUUUCUGUAUUUAUGAUAUUAUUACUAUUAUUCAGUGUUCAGUUUAUAGAUAUUAGUCAUGGGUUUGCUUAUGGUCUUUUGGGGUUAUGGGCACCGUGUAGCAUUUCAUGUACCAGAUUCGAGGUGUUACGAACUUGGUAUCAGAGCUAGGUUCAACAGUGUCCUAGGAAGUCUGAAAAGCCGCAUUUAGUAGAGUCUUGUACAUGCGUGUGUUGUGCACCACACUUAUGUGCAGGAGGCUAUGAGAUUUUAGGAACAGUUUCUCUUCUUUCAGUAUUCAUGUCGUACCAAUAAGCAUAGGCUCAAAGUUAAACUCUCAGUCAAAGUUAAGCGUGGUGAGCCCAUAACCCACAGGUCCCAGGAUCAAAAUUUGGCUCUAAUACCAAGUUUGUAACACCCCGAAUCUGGUACCUAAAAUGCUAUAUGGUGCCCAUAACUCGAAAGGACCACAAGCUAACCCAUGGCUAAUAUCUAUAAACUGAGCACUGAAUAAUAGUAAUAAUAUCAUAAAUGCAGAAAUAUGAACUGAAAGGCCAUGAGGUUCAAUACUAGUACAUAACUAAAAAAUGUGGUAUAAUAAUACCAAAACAACUAAGAUAAUUGUCUGAACAUACUGUAGUCUGAAAGCCUCUAAACUUUCAGAAUAAGGAGUUGAUGGGACAUGUCCCCAACUAACUCCAACCACUAAAAUAGACUAAAAAAUGAAAUAGUAAUGUGAUCAUCAUGUCCUUGAAGGAUGAGGACUCACUGCUAACUCUGAUCGCUGAACUGGGUACUACUAAUUCUCUGGAGCUCGUGCUUCUAAACCUAUGGUAUAAGACACCAUAGCACAAACGGGUCAGUACUUUUAAUGUACUGGUAUGCAAGUGAGGUAGGAUGAAUGUAAUAGGUUCAUAUGCAUGAACAAUACUAACUGACUGACUAACAUAAACGUGAGAAUACAUGCAUACAUACGUAACUGUAACUGAGAUCAUGAUAGGACUGAAUAUUAAGUUCUGACUACUGAAUCUACUGACAUUAACAUCUGAGUCACUGAUGAGUGAGAAACUGAUACUGUAUUACUUAAUACUAAGGGACUGAUACUAUGUUAUUAAUAAAUGGAUAACUGUGUCUAACAGUUCUGAUUAUGAAGAACUGGUCUGGUUGACUGUAUCUGUCAGUCCUAAAGCUGAAUGCUAAUAACAUAAGUUCUGAUAACUAAUAUAACUGAUAACAUGAGUGACUGUAUCUGAAAGUCCUAAAUCUAUACUAUUGAGCUGAAUUAAUUAUAUCUGACAAUCCUGAUUCUGUAACUGAAAUUGUGGGAUGUAUUCAUCUAACCGACAUGCCCCAUACUAAGCUAACUGGGGUCUAACCUAUAACCCCGGCUGGAAUGGUGUCAGUACUGUGCCACUGUUAAAGACAAAUACUAUGGAGUCAGUCCUAAUCUAGCGGGUGACCCUUGGAAUUAGUCCUAUACAUUUAAAUGUGAUAACGGGUGAUCCCUGAGUAUGUCAGUCCUAUCUAACGGGUGACAUCUCAUACCUACACUGGUUACGUAGUUCUGGAACUUAGGGAUUGCUUUUAGGGAUCUCAGUCCUAUCUAGCGGGUAAGUCCCCAUCCCUAGGCUUGCUCGGUGCUGAAUCCUACUCCCAUCUAAAAGACACUAAAUUGAUUAACUGAACUGAGCUGAAUUGAUACUAGUGGUAUUGUCUAGUGGAGCUAAUCUGAAUUUACUGAGUUCCAUUAACUGACGGAAUGUACUGAGUUCUGAGGACUGACUGAGAAUAUUGAAGUUACUGAGAUUACUGAGCUACUGAAAUUACUGAGAUUUUUGAGAUUUCCUGAGUCACAUGACUAACUAAGUUCUAUGGAUCAUAGCUUGACUGAGGAGAUCGUGAAAACAUGACAUGACUUUAGGCACACAGUUAAAUAUUCGGGUACAAGUACCCCCAGGACUCGAUUGAAUAUACAUCUAUACAAAUCAAUUCCAUACAAAAUUGAUCACCCAACAUGGAUUUGAAUUCAAUUGAUCAUUCUCAACAUAAACAACACAAACUCAACAUGAAAUUCAUAAAGAAAUCCAUAAACUUAAACUUAGAAACGAGAUUCUCGGGCUUCAUGGACAAAAGGAGGCCAUGAAUGAACACUACGCAUACCUUAGUUCAUGAUUUUGUGAAAAUUAACGAUGAAACCUUCUUGAAUUUGAAUCCCCAAUUGAAACCGUAGCUUGUUCUUGAGAGAAACUUGAGAGAAACUAGUAUAUUUUGGGUGAAGAAUGGCUAAAUCACGUGUUAUUAGGUUUAAAUAGGGUUAGAAAAUUGACAUUUUUAACCCUGGAUGCAUCUUUUAUUUCUGAGAAAAAUUUCCCAAUUUUUAUCCUUGGCGCGACGCGCCACUAUUGCGCCAAGUCACUGGAAAGUGACAAAUGGGAAAUUGCACGGUGGUGCGACGCAGAGCUAUCGCAUUGCCACCUUGUCUGUGACCUAGAAGUUUUGUGCGAUGCGCCACUAUCACGAAGCAACACUGGAAAUUGACAAUUUCCAUUUGAGCUAUCUCCGCGACGCGCUGAAGGCUCAGGUGAUACACUGUCUCACUAAAAAGGCUCUAACUCUUCACCCGGAUGUCGGAUUUGGGCGAAUUUGGUAUCGAUGGAAAGAUUAUUCGAUUCCCCAUAUGAUAAAAAGUGAAAAUCUUGAAAAUACCAUGUCUACAAAAGUGUAUUUAUUUUUCAAAUAAAGCUUCUAACAUUCUUGGGAAACUUUUUAAGCUAGGAAAAGUAUGGGGUAUUACAAUCUUGUUGGAUUUUCAAUAAUUAUAGCGUCAUUUCAUACUGUAUUGUGAGGUAGAAUUUCUCUACUAUUGGAAUAAAAGAAACCAAAGAAUGGACAUUUCUUGAUUUAUGUGGAGAAAUCAGAAAAAGUGAUAUGGAAUGAACUUGAAAUAACUCUUACAAUUGUGCAAAAUAACGUCUUUGCUCUUGGUUGUCCUUUACUCUCCUUUCUAUAUAGUAGAAAAAUAUAAUAAAAAAAAGAUUAUAUAUAUAUAUAUAUAUAUAUAUAUAUAGAUGGAUAGAGAGAGAGAGAUAGAUCAUAGUUAUUUAGAUGUUUCUAUAGAGUUGUAGGUACGCAAAAUAUCUAAAAUAUCAUUAUGUUAGCUUUGAAAUUACAGUAAUUCCCUUGGCUAUCAUUGAACUCACCGUUCUAUAUAAAUAAUAAAAAAUAAAUAUAAUAGAAUAAAGUAUGUUAUUUUUGUGCAAAACAAAACCUCAACUCCAUAAGACUAGAUUUUGUUAAAUUGAGAGCAAUUUUUGUAUUAAAUUAAUUUUUCUGGGUCUUUGUAAAAUUGAGAGCAAGUUUGAUAUCAUAGUUAAUUUUUUUUGAUUUUUGGAAUCCACUUAGAUCUCAAUUACAGUAAUGUCUUUAUUGAUGGCAAUAUUGAUUAGGUAUAUUUUUUUUGUCUAUGGCUUUAUAUCAUGUUUUGUUGAGCGCGGGAUCAUGAUAUAAAGUUUGAUAUCUUAUCCUUUUCAAACCCCACUUAUAAGACUACACCAAAUAUGUUAUUAUUAUUUAAUUGAUUUUAAAGUUUGAGUGUUGAUUCAUGAUUGAUUUGUGAUUGUAUAGUUUUGAAUAUCACGUUAUAUAUAUAAUUAAUUUGUAUGACUUGAAUACAUAGUCUUCAAGAGUGAUUUCGGUUAUGGUAGAGACAAUUGAACUUGAAAGUAUUAUUCUAGAGCAAUUUUAGAUUAUGGCAAAGCGUUUUAAUCAUUUAAUUCUUUUCUUAAUUGAACUAUUGUCACAACCUAAUUUCUCAGGUCAUGAUGGCGCCUACUAUAACCCAUUAAUAGGCAAGCCAAACCUAUAGUCUGAAAUGUCUAGUAACAGACUAUCAAUCAAAAUAAGGAAAGAAUGAAAAAUAAAUGUACUAAAAGAUCAAAUACAUAGACAAAUCUCAAAACCUGGUGGUAUUAGUACAAAAUCUUCUAAUAUAACAAGAGUACAUGAGUGAAAUACAAAUGAAUAUACUGAUAUAACUUAUCUCCGAAUACAACACAGAGACUAGCCUAAUACAUAAAGGAGAGAUAAGUAAUACUCCGAACAUUAGGAUCUCACUCUAAAUCUCCAAACAAUGGUUACUCUGCUCAACACACACAUCAACAGUGAUAUCUCGUACUAUGAUCUGUAGGCUGCAAAAGUGUAGUAUGAGUACCAAAUAAAUAGUACUCAGCAUGCAACUACCAAUUGAGCUUUGAAGAUAAAGUAGAUAUAUAACAUAUAAACAGAAUGAAAAACUACAUUCAAAAUUCCAAUAUCCAUAAAAGACAAACAAUAAGGUAACAAGGAUAAACUAUCCUAUUCAUGUCCAAGAGGAUAACAUAUUAAGACUAAGGGAGUAACAAAUAUGAACUAUCCUAUUCCAGUCAUAUUAAUAAUUCUCAACAUUAUACCGUAUAUCACUGUCCAAUAUGCAAAGUACAAGUGGAAGGAAGAUACACAUAACUUUACAAGGCCAAGGAAUGAGUAUACAAUAUGAAUAAUUGAAGGAAGGGAUAUAUGGUAGUCCCAUAAUUAUAUAUAGCUAGGUAUGUGUGUGUGUAUAUACAGACACACACAUAUAUAUACACACACAUAUAAAUACGAAGUCAACUCAAAGGAUAACCUAAAUCAUCAUGUCUUCACUUUAAGACCUCAUUAUAAUCCUAUCCGAAUUUAAUACUAUCAUACUCAGGGUUCUAAUCCGGAUGGCUAGACAUGAAAUAAUCAUGCAUAAUAAUGCAAUCAUAAGAUAGAAGAGGCCAAAAGUAUACCUCAAAUAUUGAUACUGAAUUAAUGACCAAUCUGUCAUAAACUAUCCAUAAUAAUGAUCAUAACAAUGAUAAUAACAAUAUUAAUAACAACACGAGUAAUUGGCUAUUUCGGACAACCAAGUAUAUAAUCGAGCCUAUGUGUAUCCCCGCUGCUCCAGAAUCAGAAGGUUCAAUCAAUAUUCAACAACACAAGUCAUAACCCAUAUCUAUGCAACCAUCCCACACAGGGUGAUAGACAUAGGUGCAUACUGGUGAUAGAAAAUGCGCAUGAAAGAAUGAAUGCAACAGAAUCUACAAUACCAUAAUCAUCAUCAUCAUAACCGUCAUCAUCAUAAUUAACCUCCGACCUUGCUGAGUAUAUAAUCAUCACAACAUCCUUUAGCCUUGCCGAGUAUCAUCACACUAUUAUAAUAUCCUUUGGUCUUGCUAGGUAUUAACAUCAUCAUCGUAAUAUCCUUCAGCCUUGUCGGGUAUCAAUAUCAUCAUCAUAAUAUCCUUCGAUCGUGUCUAGUAUAAAUAUUAUCAUCAUAAUAUCCAAACUAAUGUCACAUAAUAGAGAGCAAGCCCCACAAGGGCUAAAGUAAAGUGCAAGCCCCACUAGAGCUAAAGUAAAUGACAAGACCAUGAGGGCUAAAAGAAAUAGAUAUGAAAAAAGAAGCAAGGUAGAGUAUAUUUCCAUAAUUCAUCAUUCAUCAUCAAUAUCACAUCCUUAGUAAGUGUAUAUAUAAUUGGUGCACGGACUCAAGCCGUGGCUAAAAGAGUGUAAAUCUGUAAGUUUGUUGCUCGGAGUGAACUUCAGAACUAGAUCUCUAUGAAAGUGUCAGAAUAUCUCAAUACCAUAGUAAAUAGUAGUGUCAUAUCAUGGACCGAAAUAUAUCCCAGUCAAAUCUCUAACAACAUCAUUAUUAACCUCUACACAUUUAACUUAUUCAUUAAGUUAGGCAUUUAUUAUUGUGAAGAAACCCAUUUUUAGGUGGAAAGUGGGCUUUAGCCCUUAGUUAGUGGCAACACAAAUAAGAUUAUAAUCUAUUUGGAAUCGUAUUAAUCAUCUAUGCGAAUCUAUGCAUGCUAUCAUCAGUAUUCAAUCAUUGGAAUCAUAUAUAUCAUACCACAUCUUCCUCUAUCCUAUGUUGAAGAUAUAUAUAUAUAUAUAUAUAUNNNNNNNNNNNNNNNNNNNNNNNNNNNNNNNNNNNNNNNNNNNNNNNNNNNNNNNNNNNNNNNNNNNNNNNNNNNNNNNNNNNNNNNNNNNNNNNNNNNNNNNNNNNNNNNNNNNNNNNNNNNNNNNNNNNNNNNNNNNNNNNNNNNNNNNNNNNNNNNNNNNNNNNNNNNNNNNNNNNNNNNNNNNNNNNNNNNNNNNNNNNNNNNNNNNNNNNNNNNNNNNNNNNNNNNNNNNNNNNNNNNNNNNNNNNNNNNNNNNNNNNNNNNNNNNNNNNNNNNNNNNNNNNNNNNNNNNNNNNNNNNNNNNNNNNNNNNNNNNNNNNNNNNNNNNNNNNNNNNNNNNNNNNNNNNNNNNNNNNNNNNNNNNNNNNNNNNNNNNNNNNNNNNNNNNNNNNNNNNNNNNNNNNNNNNNNNNNNNNNNNNNNNNNNNNNNNNNNNNNNNNNNNNNNNNNNNNNNNNNNNNNNNNNNNNNNNNNNNNNNNNNNNNNNNNNNNNNNNNNNNNNNNNNNNNNNNNNNNNNNNNNNNNNNNNNNNNNNNNNNNNNNNNNNNNNNNNNNNNNNNNNNNNNNNNNNNNNNNNNNNNNNNNNNNNNNNNNNNNNNNNNNNNNNNNNNNNNNNNNNNNNNNNNNNNNNNNNNNNNNNNNNNNNNNNNNNNNNNNNNNNNNNNNNNNNNNNNNNNNNNNNNNNNNNNNNNNNNNNNNNNNNNNNNNNNNNNNNNNNNNNNNNNNNNNNNNNNNNNNNNNNNNNNNNNNNNNNNNNNNNNNNNNNNNNNNNNNNNNNNNNNNNNNNNNNNNNNNNNNNNNNNNNNNNNNNNNNNNNNNNNNNNNNNNNNNNNNNNNNNNNNNNNNNNNNNNNNNNNNNNNNNNNNNNNNNNNNNNNNNNNNNNNNNNNNNNNNNNNNNNNNNNNNNNNNNNNNNNNNNNNNNNNNNNNNNNNNNNNNNNNNNNNNNNNNNNNNNNNNNNNNNNNNNNNNNNNNNNNNNNNNNNNNNNNNNNNNNNNNUUUACACUCCCACGAGAGCUGUAGAUUGAGCGUUAUCAGAUUCCCCUGUACCCCGCAGACUCCAUUAUUAAAAUCACUUGAGAGAUUCUCGUGUACCCCACAAAAUUUUCAAAAUCAUCCUUAAUCAAUUAACCAUUUAUGUCAUGCAUUAGUUUCAAGAAACAAAUCAAACCAAGUAAUAAUGUAUAAACCAAAAUCAAUUAUGCAAGUUGUUACCUAUUUUCAUACAAAACCAAUUAAUUUGGGGAUUCCUUUGUACCCCGAUUUCCAUCCACCAUUCCCUUGCAAACCUAAUGCAUUUACUAACCAUCAAUUUAAGCACAAUAGUUUCCUAGAUAUAUGGAAAAGUAUUUAAACAAUUUAUAUUAAAAACCCUCAACCCAUAGUUCAAAACUCAACAUCAAUAUCUCAUGAACAAUACUUUAAAUCACAUGCUUUUACAAUAUUGACAAUAAAGGAAGAGUAACAUGCCUGAAAUACUAAGAAAUUUGGAGAAGAAAACAACCUUAGAACCUUAUAUGACCACUUUCUUUAAAACCCUAGCCUUAACUUAAACUGAGAGAGAAUUUGGGAGUGUUCUAUUGGGAAUGAUGUGAUAAUAAAGCCCCAAGGAAGGCUUUAAGUCGUGGGGUCCAAGGGGUGAAAUUGAGAAAUGCCUAGAGUACCUCAACUUAAAAACUGAAAAAGUGUUGUCUUUGAUUAUGAGUCAACCAUCGACUCAUAACUUUCCUUGCGACUCAUCACUAUGGGUCAUAACCAAGGUAGUACCACUAAGGAAUCCCACACUGUUAUCCUUACGACUCAACCACAGGACUCGUAAUAAGACCUUACGACUCGUAGGGUUCAGUCGUAAUCAACACAUAACCCAAAUUGGGACUUACACUGGACACCCUACGACUACACCUAAUGACUCAUAACGUAUCCUUACGACUCUUGGUGAGCCACUCGUACUUAGAGCAGAAUCAAGCCACAAACUUACUAGUUAGGUUACGACUCAUCCCAACGACUCGUUAGGACACUCUACGACUCAUAAGGUCUAAUCGUAACCAGGGCAUUGAGCUCGAAGCUCAAAGAAUUUUCAAGGGCCAAAAAUCCAAGGUGUUUUAAUGCACUUUUAACUAAAGUGAUUAUGUGAGGUUGAUUUAUAAAUAUAGGUAAUUUUUUAUUUUUAAAUGUUAAAAAAUAAAAAUUUUAGGACAUUUUUUAUAUAAAAAUAUAUUGAAAGCUUGUAACAAUUUGGAUACGCUAAAAAAUAUGUAAACUUCUGAUGUAAUAAUGGGUUCAUUGAAAAAUAAAGGAGAACGAUGAAGAAGAAAUUGGAGGAAAAAGCUAAAGAGAAGUAACAAAGAGAAAAAGAAAGAAAAACUAUAUAUUGAAGGGCUACAAUUUCAUGAUAUUAUUGGUGUUAUCUCAUGUUUUAAUGAUGACUGAAUGAUAUCGAAGGACCAGGUCCCUCGCCUACUUUGACCAGGCACAACUAUCAUAUUCUACAAAAUUUUGUCUGAUAGUGCAAUAAUUGUCCAGGUGUACAGUGUACCAGAAUAUACAUCUGGUUCAAUCAAAAUUCUAUCACUCAAUCUACACUACUAUAAAUACAUAAGAAUGCUCUUUCCUCCAUAGUUUUUACAAAUUGAAGAAUCUCACGGUGACGACCAAAACUCUCUCUAAGUUCAAGUUCUAAAUCUCUUUAUAUUUAUAGUGUAGGUAUUCUUGAGUCGAGUCUUAUAAUCAAUUUACUCAAGGAUUAAGAGUAAAACUUUUCUUUUGUUGUUGAGUUUCUUAGGUAGAGUUAUCUAAAUUUGUGUUGGUUAGAGUUAACCAAUAUUGAGAGUGACAUUGACAGAGUUGUCAAGAGGUGAUUGUAAUAGAGUUAUUUACAAAUUAGAGAAACUUAUAGUUUAGUUCGAAUGAAGUCUGUAAUCAAGAUGUGUUUUGAUUAUAGUGGAGUUUGAGAGCCUGUGAGUGCAGGUUAUGGUUUUUUCUCUCUUGAGUAAGGAGGUUUCUACGUAAAUAAUUAUGUUGAUUUAUUUACUGCAUCUUUGUGUGCUUGUUGCUUUAUUGUCAUAUAAUUCACUUUCGGGACCUGGUCCCUUAGUGAUGGUGUACCCCUCACGUUUUUACAAUUGGUAUCAGAGCGAGGACACUCUAAAAGGUUAACACCUAGAGUGAAUUCUUGAUCAUGGUUACACCACCUAAUCAGGAGGAGGGGCAAUAUACUACUAGGCUACCCCAUUUCAAUGAGCAAUACUAUGGGUGGUAGAAAAUUAGGAUGUAUGAUUUCAUUAUGACUAAGGAUGGAGAGCUAAUGAAUGUGAUACUUGAUGGUCCCCAUGUGCCAGUAUGAGAAGUCAAAGAAGGAGACAUAACUAGAAUGAUUGUUAAAACUAGGAGAGAAUAUGAUGAUGAAAAUUGUAAAAAGAUUGAAAAGAACUUCAAGGCCAAAAAAUUAUUGGUUGAUGGGAUAGGACUAGAUGAAUACAAUUCUUGUGAGAAUGCCAAAGAGAUCUGGGACUGCCUGAGAACAGAUCAUGAAAGAGCAACUGAUGUAAAUGAAUCAAAAGUGGAUAUGUUGACCACUUAGUAUGAAGUCUUCCUUAUGAAGGAGGGUAAAACUAUUCAAGAGAUGCACACAAGAUUUACUUCAAUCACAAAUAAGUUGCAUUGCCUUGCUGAAGUUAUUUCCCUGCAUAAACAAGUAAGGAAAAUUUUGAACUUCUUCCUAAGUCAUGGGAGAGAAAAGUUGAUGCUAUCUCUGAGGCUAGAAAUUUAAAGAUACUCACUAUGGAUGAAUUAAUUGGGAACUUGAAAAUUCAUGAGUUGAAAAAACAAAGGUCAAGAAAAGAAGGAGGUUAAAAGAGAAAGUCACUAGCCUUAAAAGCUUCAAAGUCUGAGUCCAGUGAUGAAGAUAUUGAUGUUGAUUACUUAGAUAAAAGGAUUGUGGAGGUCAUGAAGAAAAAUGGUCAAUUGCAAAGAAGAGAAAACAACAGUAGAAAAAGAGCACUAUUGAAGUUUAUCACAAAUAAUCAGAAGGAGAUAACAGAAAAUAGAAGGACCAGGUCCUCAAGAAGUCAAGAAGGAAAGUAGUUGUUGAUUAUGUAGUUAACAAAGCCCUAACUAUCUAGGAGAUACCUCAAGUGAAUCUGAUGAAUCCGAAAAGAUUGAUGAUACUUCUAUGUUAGCUGUGGAAGUAAUGAAAUAUCCUACAACUCUCUUUUUGUUCUCAUGGUAAAAUCAGAUGAAUAAGUAGAGAAUGAGGUAACUCGUUUUUAUAUUAAGCAGAACUUGAAUGAUUAUUCCCCUAAGAAGAUGAAGGAAAUCGCAAAUAUCUUGAUUGAUUAUGUGUGUAAACUUAUUUAUGAGAGAGAAUUACUUAAAGAUAAGGGAGAAAAUCUAGAACAUGAAAAUUAGCCUUAAUCAUUCAGUUUUCUGAAGUAGGAGAACGGUCAUUAAAAUUAAAAUCUGAAAACAAGGAUUUGAUGGAUAAACUAAAGAAGAUAGUUGAGUCUAAUGAGAAGGUAAAAAAAAAGCUUUAAAUUUAUCUUGAAGAAAAGUUGAAGAAUUCUCAAAAGCUUCUUAUGACUGCACUCCAUAAUAAUGAAGAAUUAGAAAGGACCUGGUCCGUAUAAAAGAAGAUCUUAAAAAAUCUAUAAAAUGUACCACAUCUUCACAAAUCCUUACAAAUCUAACCAGUCAGGGUAUCAAUAAUUAUAAAGGUCUUGGGUAUCUGUACAACACUCGUGCUCUUAAGUCCCAAGGCAAACAUGUCUCUGUUUCUAAAAAUAAGGCCAAUAAUCAUUUAUGCACUCACUAUAUCGGGAAUGGUCACUUGAAGGAGAAAUGUCAGGGAUUGCUUAGAGUUAAAAUAAACGUUGCUAGAUAUGUCCAGCUAAAGCAGUAUUUCCCUAAGGGAUCUAAUUCCUUGAAAAAUUUUAAGUAGAAUAAAUUACCUAACAGGACCAAGAAAGCUCUGAUCACUCUCUUGUCUUUCUUUUGGGAACUCAGACUCAAGUGGGUUCCCAAAUUUAACAAGUGACCUCUGUAAACAGGUGGGAGUAAGAGAAGGCAGUCAAAGCCGGUUCAUGGAUAGUGGAUGCUCUAAGCAUAUAACUGGAAGAACUAACUAUUUUCUCUCACUCAAUGCACUUCAAGGUGGAGGUGUCUCCUUUGAAAAUAAAAAAAAAGAUAUAUUCAUGGUGUUGGAAAGAUAGGGAAAUCCUUAAAUCACGCCAUUGAGGAUGUGUAUUAUGUGAAUAGUUUAAAUUAUAGUAUUUUAAGUGUGUCCCAAAUCUGUGACAAAGGAAAUAAAGUGAAGUUCCUAUCUGAUGGGUGUACUUUAUCCAAUUUAAAAUUUGGGAAAGUUAUACUCAAAGCUAAAAGGUGUAAGAAUAUAUAUGUGGUUGAUUUAGACUCAGUAGCUGAUUGUGAAUUAACAUGCCUAAGUGCUCAAAGUGAAACUAUUGAUUUGUGGCACAAAAGGUUGGGAUAUGUAAGUUCCUCUCUACUUAACAAACUAAUCUCAAAGGACCUGGUCCAUGGUGUUCCAAACCUGCAGUUUUCAGAAAACAAGAUUUAUGAUGUUUGUGUCAAAGGAAAACAAACCAAAUCAUCCUUUAAGCAGAAGAAGUAGGUAAGUACCACAAGACCCCUUGAAUUAUUGCACAUGGACUUUUGUGGACCUAUCAAAGUUCAAAGUAGAGGUGGGAAAAGAUAUGUUUUUGUCAUUAUGGAUGAAUACUCAAGAUUCACUUCGACCAUAUUCCUAAAAGCUAAGGAUGAAGCUUAUGAAGUACCGGUGGUCUUUACCAAGAAAAUUUAGGUGAAGCUGAACAACAAGAUUGCAGGAUUCAGAUCUGAUCAUAAACUGAGUUUGAGAAUUUCAAAGUUGAAGAAUUCUAUGCUUAAAAAGGAAUUAGUCACAACUUCUCUGCUCCAAGAACUCUUCAACAAAAUGGAGUAGUUGAAAGGAAGAAUAGGACACUCAUAAAAUUGCUAGGACUAUGUUGAUUGAUAGUGGCCUUUCAAAAAGUUUUUGGGUUGAAGCUGUCAAUACUGUCGGUUAUAUGACCAAUAGAUACCUGACCAGAUCUCUCUUGAACAAAACUCCAUAUAAACUUAUUUUUGACAAAAAGGCGAAACUUGAUUAUUUUAGACCCUUUGGGUGCAAAUGUUUUAUUCUAAAUAAUGAAAAGAAUGAGCUUGGGAAAUUCGACUCCAAAAGUGAUGGAGUUGCAUUUGUAGGCUACUCCUCAACAAGCAUAUAGAGUCUUCAACAAAAGGACUCUGUGUAUGGAGGAAAAUGUACAUGUGAUCUUUGAUAAAUCAAGAAAGUUAAAAGAUUCUGCUGGAGGUGAAGAUUCUGUCAUGAAUGGAUUUAUUCCUAUUCAAAGGGAUGGUAUAGCUGAAGCUGAAGUUCAAGAACAUAAUGAUAGAGUUGUAGAUGAAGAAAGUGAUGGUGAAUUAGGUCCUUAGUUGCUGAAUCCAAAUUUAAAAGAGGAACAUCAAGAAAAACCUGUUCAAAAUCCUCAAGGACCUAGUCCCAACAGACCUCAGUCAAAAAGAUUAAAUUGGAAGCACAAAUCUUCUCACUACCUUGAAAAUCUGACCUCUUCCUUGGAAUCUGGAAUGCAAAGAAGAGCUCAAGCUUCUUGUCAUAGGUUGAGCAUAAGUAUGUAAAAAAUCCCUAAAAGAUGCUGACUAGAUUAAUGUUAUGCAAGAACAACUUCAACAAUUUGAAAGGAGCAAAGUUUGACACCUGGUCUCCAAGCAUAUUGACAAAACAAUCAUUGGGAUAAAAUGGGUGUACAGAAACAAACAAGAUGAACAUGACACUAUCAGUGGAAAUAAAGCAAGAGUUGCUAUUCAAGGAUAUAAUUAGGAGAAAGGUAUUGACUAUGAUGAGAUCGUUACUUCUAUUGCAAGGAUGGAAGUAAUUAGAAUUCUUAUUGCUUUUGCUGCUUAUAUGGGUUUCAAACUCUUCCAAAUAGAUGUCAAGAGUGCCUUUUUAAAUGGUAGUUUGAAAAAAGAAAUUUAUGUUAAACAACCUCUAGGUUUUGAGGAUUUUGAUUUCCUACAUCAUGUUCUGAAGCUGGAUAAGGCUCUCUAUAGGUUGAAGCAGGCACCUAGAGCUUGGUAUGAGAGACUAUCAAAGUUUCUUCUGAAAAAUAGUUUUAAAAGGGGAAAAUUAAAAAUACCUUCUUUCUGAAGCCCAAAGGGAACAACUUGAUAAUUGUGCAAAUCUAUGUUGAUGACAUAAUCUUUGAAGUAACCUCUAAAUCUCUAUGUUGAGAAUUUGCCAAAUUAAUGGUGAGUGAGUUUGAAAUGAGCAUGAUAGGUGAAUUGAGCUUCUUCCUAAGGCUUCAAAUUUAAAAGAUAUCCCAAGGUACAAUGAUUUGUCAAGAAAAAUAUAUCAUAGAGCUACUGAAUAAAUACAAUAAGUGAGAUGUCAAGCCAAUUGAUACUUCCAUUAGAACCAAUUCAAAGAUAGACAAUGAUGAACAUGGUCCUCAAUUAAUGGGACCAUGUAUAGAGAAAUUGUUGGAGCCUUAUUAUACCUCACUGCUAGCAGGCUAAAUAUUGUGUUUAGUGUUAGUAUGUGUGCUAGAUUUCAGACAUGUCCAAAGGAGUCUCAUUUAAAAGCAGCCAAGAGAAAUUCUCAAGCAUCUGAAAGGGAUAGGGGACUUGAUCCUAUUUAUCCAUCUAAAUAGAUUAGGUUAUGCUGAUGCUGAUUAUGUUGGGUACUUGGUGGACAUAAAGAUUACCUCAGGAAUGGCUCAUUUCCUUGGACCCUCUCUAAUUUUCUGGGGAUCUAAGAAACAAAAUUCAGUUGCACUAUCUACUAUUGAAGUUGAAUAUGUUGCUGCAACUUCUUGUUGCGUUCAAUUUUUAUGGAUCAAACAGCAACUGGAGGAUUUUAGGAUUGUCUCUGAUCCUAUUCCCUUGAUGUGUGGCAAUAUAAGUUCUCUAAACAUGGCUAAAAACCCAGUGCAACAUAAAAGGCCAAAGCAUAUUGACGUGAGGCAUCAUUUACUGAGAGAUAAUAUUUAAAAAGGAGCCAUUUGCAUGAAUUCUAUAAGACUAAGGAUCAGGUAGCUGACAUCUUCAUAAAGGUUCUUCAUAAGGAACAAUUUUUGAAGAAUAGGCUGAGGUUGGGUUUGAUCAAGAUGAAUUAACCUACUUGGUAGAUCAAGUUCUUCAAUUCAUUGGCUAUGAUUAGAAGAUAGGUAUCCUUGAUGUGCUUUUUAGUGUAACUCAGUACCAUACCAUUUUAGGUAUACACGCAUGGUAAAACCACUUUAAAGGAAACAGAUGAAAUAGACACAAUAUAAAAUAUUCACUCAAGCAAGGGAGGGACCUGGUCCCGUACCAUAGGUUAGUAUCAUUAAUGUGCACUUUAAAAAUAUAUAAAUUUUUGUCUGAAAAAGCCAUAUUUUUCCCUUCUCUAUCUGAAAGUUGUCAAAUCCUCUGAAAAAUGAAGAGUUGCACCUAUUGUGACCAGAAACAUCCUAUACCCUUUAAUCUCAAAUGUUGCAAUCUUUUCUUCCUUUAAAUACAAAAUCAAAUUCCCUUUUCCACUCACUUUUCCAAAAUUAACUUUUAAACUUUUCUCUCUCAAAAGCAAUUUUUUUCCUAUUCUAAAAAAAUUAUCUUUCCUUAUUUUAAAUAAUCUAUUAAAAUUUCAAAUGACUAACAAAACCUCGUCCUUAAGAACCUCAUAUGAAGCCGAGUCUGUCCAAACCUCUUCUCUUCUCUCUAAAAUACCAAUUAUUGAGUCGUCUUCCUUACUUGUCACUAAGGAAGGAUCUACCAUGGAAGAAUCCGUAAAAAUAGUAAAACCUACCUCUAAGACAGUUGUUAUGGUUGACCAAAGUGAAGUCUAUGGGUCAUCCAUAGAAGUUGAGUUCCCUCAAAACCCCGUUCCUUUAGAAAAACUAGAAAGACUAACUAUUCUGAAACUCUGAACGAAUCUGGUUCUCCCACCCUUUUUGAUUCAAACCCUAUCCUUUCCCAAUUGAUGAAGAUCUACCAGUAAAAAAAUCAAACUCCGCUAGUAGUGAGUUAGCUGAGGAGGAUUAGGUUGGUGAGAACUCAAUUUUGCUGUCAAAUUACCCCAGGGACAGUUUUAUAGGGCUGGAGAAAAUAAGUUGUUGGCGAUGAAAAUAUUCUCCCCACAGGUGAUUUAUCUUCUAAGGACGAUGAGCCUAUUGGUUCAUUUAUUCCAUCUCCUAAUAAAGAUGAGGAUGACUUGCUUUUAAGGUGGUCAGUACAAAAACAAAGAGGCAGCAAAGGAAAGGGUAAAGUGGAGGAAACAGGGAAAGUAACUAAAACUUACGCAACAAGUAGUGUUGAAAAUAAGCUCAGGGGGGAUGUUAUAAAGGCAAAUAAGUCUGGAACUAUUAAAAGAAGAAGGUUAAAGAGGGGGAUUGUUAUUAAGGAAGAAAAUGUAAAAGUGGUUAAAGUUAGUGAAGAAGAGGAAGAGAUUGAUAUUGAUACUGCUACUGCAACAGAAAAAAGGAAGAAAGAAGUUCAAGAUGAAGGAAGGACCAGGUCCUUCCCAAAAAAAUUAAGGAGUCCCAUCGGUAUGAAACAAAAACACAGAGAUGUGAAAAAGAAAGAAAGUAACUCGGAGACCUGGUCCCAAGAAGAGAAAAAUGGCUGAAUAAAAACCAGGUAGUCGUUAUAAAAGAAAAAAAGUGGAGCAAGUAGAGAAGAGUUGACUUGGGAAAAAAGAAAUGAGUCUGAGAACUUAGAAGGUAUUGACUGGGAGAGUCUUUGACUCUAGGAUUUUUUAGAAACCUGAUAUGGUGGAGUUAGUUGAGUAUGUUAGACAUCAGGUUGCGCCUCCUAGAGGAACCAGUUCCCUCUGUCUUUGAAGGUGAAGCAAGGUAAUUCUACUAUACAAUAAAGUUCUCAAGUGAUGGACUAAGCUUAACUGCUUUAGUUCAAGGGAAGAAACUGAAAUUAGAUGAAGAGAUUCUUGGAAAAAUUCUAGAUGUUCCCAUAAUUAGAGUUAGGAUUGUGUUAAAUCAACACCCCUCAACAAAAUUCAUGGUUGAUGCUAGGGGUGUACAAACCGAACCGUUAAGCCAAACCGAACCAAUGAAUCAAACCAAACCGAGGAAAAAAACUGACUUAUAGUUUGGUUUGAUUGGUUUGGUGUUGGUAAAAAAAAUUGAUCAUUCUUGGUUUGGUUUGGUAUUAGAAAAAAUAAAAUCAAACCGAACCGACGUAAUACAUAUAUAAUUUUAUUUUUUAAUACGUAAAAAAAUAUUACUUAUAAUCUACUUUCUGAUUACUUUUAUUAUUUUUCUUAUAUUCAGAAAAUAGAUAUAUGUAUAUAUAUUCUUGGGCCUUUACUUAUAGUAUUUUUCCAUUAAUAACAAAUUAAUACAAAGCCCAAUAUCUAUAUCUAUAUUUAUAUCUGUAUCUAUAUCUAUAUCUAUAUCUAUAUCUAUAUCUAUAUCUAUAAUCUAUAANNNNNNNNNNNNNNNNNNNNNNNNNNNNNNNNNNNNNNNNNNNNNNNNNNNNNNNNNNNNNNNNNNNNNNNNNNNNNNNNNNNNNNNNNNNNNNNNNNNNNNNNNNNNNNNNNNNNNNNNNNNNNNNNNNNNNNNNNNNNNNNNNNNNNNNNNNNNNNNNNNNNNNNNNNNNNNNNNNNNNNNNNNNNNNNNNNNNNNNNNNNNNNNNNNNNNNNNNNNNNNNNNNNNNNNNNNNNNNNNNNNNNNNNNNNNNNNNNNNNNNNNNNNNNNNAAAAAAACACGUCCCACCUCAAAAAGAGAAAAAAAUAAGUAGUGUCAGAUUGUAGUUAGCAUACGACCUAAUUUCUUUCUUUUAAGUAUGGUUUUUGAUUUAAUUAGGAGUCCUUAAUUUUCUUUUCUUUUAAGUUUCAUUUGUCUUGAUUUUCUAUAAUAAUUAUUUUUUUAUGAAAAAAGUUUCUCAAAUUAGAUUAGAUUUCUUCCAUGUUUCAUCCUCUUUCUUAAAAGGAAAAAAAAUUGUACAUCUAUAUAUUGAGCAUUCCUUUUUUCCAAUAAAUUAUAGAAUAACAUUCACAAUUUAAUUGUUAAAGAGUAUUUUCAAGAGAAGAUUAGUUUUAUGUUCUUUAAUAUUAGUUUUUAAUUUGUAGGUCAACAAUAUUAAAUAUUAUGCAUCUUUUAUUAACGUUUUUUUAUCAUAUGAUUUAUUAUAAUUUCAAUUGUUAGCUUUCGCAUGAUGUGCAGGUAAAGAAAAAUUAUGUGAGUGUGUGGUUGAGACUUCGUGCCGAUUAUGAGAGGAUUUAAAGGUAUGUUUUUUUUUAAAAAAAAAUUAUUUCUCAUUCAUAUCGGUACGAUUUAUGUUGUUAAGGCAUUGAUUAGAAGUGCACGUUUUGCUCUUUGAUUCGAUUUUAUCAAAUUUCAAUUCAAUUUUUUGAUUUACAAUUUUAAAAAGUAGACAUCGAACACCGAAUCGAACUAUUUCAGUUUGGUUCAUUUUCUUUCAACCUUGUUUUUAUUUGAUUCGGUGUUCAAAAAUAUUUAAACUUUUUGUCCUUCGUUAAAAGUGUCUGCUUUAGACAAAAUUAUUUCUUCAAUAUUUAAGAAUUGAAAAUUUAUCAAAUAUUUUAGUAAAAUAUAUGUUAUAUUUGCGCUAUUUUAUCAAAGUGUGAAGGAUCUUUGAGAAGUGAUUUAAAUUUUUUGCUCUUCAUUAAAUUUUUUUGCAAUAAAUAAAAUUAUCUAAUUUUAAAUAAUCAAAUGUUACACGUGCGGCCUCGGGAGUGUUGUGUGAUAAAAAGGUGCCGCCCAAACUUAAAGGUAAAUUCUACAGAGUGACAGUCCGUCCGGCCAUACUGUAUGAAGCGGAGUGUUGGCCAGUCAAGAACUCCCAUAUUCAAAAACUGAAGGUGGCAGAAAUGCGGAUGUUGCGUUGGAUGUGUGGGCUUACUAGGGAUGAUAGAGUUAGGAAUGAGACUGUCUGAGAGAAGGUUGGUGUGGCUUCGGUGGAGGACAAGAUACGGGUAGUUCGGUUGAGAUGGUUCGGGCAUAUGAUGAGAAGAGGCACGGAUGCCCCAGUUUGUAGAUGUGAGAGGUUAGCUUUGGAUGGUUUCAGGUGGGUAGGGGUAGGCCAAAGAAAUAUUGGAGAGAGGUGAUUAGACAUGACAUGGAGCAGUUACAGCUUACUGAGGACAUGAUCCUAGAUAGAAAGGUUUGGAGGACACGAAUUAGGAUAGAAGGCUAGUGCAUGCGGGAGGGUCGUAGUUAGUAAUUAAGGGAGCGUCGGUAUAGGGGGUGCCUUUGGUUCGUUAGCGUAGGGUAUUACUUUAUGGGUGUCUUAUUUCUGUUGUUCCAUCUUGUUUCAUGUUUUUACUAUAAAUUUAUUUAUUACUCAUUGUCUUGAGCCGGGGGUCUAUCGAAAACAGCCUUGCUACUUCUUCGGAGGUUGUGGUGUGGACUGCGUACAUCUUACCCUCCCCAGACCCCACUGUGUGGGAAUACACUGGGUUUGUUGUUGUUGUUGUUGAAAUCUUACACGCGCGAGACACGUGGGGUUUAACUAGUUAAUAUAAAAACCUAAAACUCUUUAAUUUCUUCACUUUUUACAUUUUACUUUCCAAGUUUUUAGAGAGUUCUCAUUAUUUUCUCAUCUUAAUUUUCUCAUUCGUCAAGUUGUGAUUUAGGUCUGUUUCUCUUCUUUCACUUUUUUUUUAUGGAAUUAUGUUAUAAUUAAUUACUUUUUGGAGUUAAGUUUUUAAUAAGUUGUCUCCAAUUCUUCAUUCUUUUGUGUGCUCACAUUUUAUGUGAAGAAAACUUUUAAACAAGCUACUGUGUCUAGUAACUUAGAAAUUGAACUACUUAGGUAUCCACAUAAUAUUACUUUGAGAGAUAGUAGUUUAGACGUCUUAGUAAUUUGCCAACUUAAUUUUUAUUGAAACUACUCUAUGACCUUUUUUUUUAAUCUUUUUAGUGAAAAUAUUUAAUUUUUUUCUUCAAUCACAUUAUAAUUGUAAAAAAACUGAGAAAAUCGAAAAAUCGAAAAAAUCUGACUAAAACCAAUAUAAAAAAACCGAUUGUAUAUCGGUUUGAUUUGGUUUAGAGAUUUAGAAAAUCGAUGUUAUUGGUUUGGUUAUAUUUUAAUAAAAAACUGAACCAACCCGACCUAUGCACACCCCUAGUUGAUGCUUUAAAAAUAGGACAAUAGCUUCUACUGUGGAUCUGUAUGUGAUUGAGUGUCUGAGCAAGUUCAAACUUAUCGGUUUGCCUGCUUUAAUGAUAAAGCACAUGUAUAAGGUUAUCUAUGCUAAGAAAGGAAAACAUGGCAUACCUUAUGAAUAUUUCCUAAACAGGGUAUUUGAUCACUUUGGGGUUGUUGGUGAAAAGGAGACUCCUGAAACUGCAAAGCAGAUGUUCACUCUGACAACCUUGAUUGAAAAUGAAUAUGUAGAAGGAAAAGUAGGGACCAUGUCCAAGGUGUCAGAAUUGUUAUUAGCUAAGAAAAGAUUGAGCAAAGAGGUGGAGGAAAUGAGGAUCGAUUUAGCUGCUAAGAAUGUAGAGAUAAUACAGUUAAAGAUAGGGAACCAAUAGCUUUCCACUGAGGGACCAGGUGUUGCUGAAGCACUUAGAACAGAAAAUGCAGAACUCAACCUAAGGUCUCAGCACUCACACAGGAGGUUCAAGGGUUGAAUGCAAAAGUAAAGGACUUCACUAAGCAACUGUUGAACUCUCACGCUACAGAGAGUUCUAGGAUGAAAUUGUUGCUUAAGUCCCUCUCCCCUAAAUAUCCAUCUACCUAAGACUCUCCACCCCCCCUUUGUUUCCUAUUGGAACCCGGUGUUAGUUUCCCCUUGUUAUUUCUAAUGGCUUUUUAGGUUCAAGAAUUUUAUGUUAAUUUUAAUUGUAUUGUAUGGUGUUUGCCUAUCUUUAAUGAUUGAAAUCAUAUUUUGUGCCUAUCAACUAUUUCUCAUUCUUUAAGUUGUUGAUUCAUGUUAGUGUGGCCCCAGUGGGCAUGAGUUAACCAAUUUGUGCUUAAUCCUACCUUGGUUUACUGUUCUUACUUUUUUAUGAUGCCAAAAGGAGGAAAUUGAAUUUACUAUAAUAGGGACCAGGUACCAUAAGUAAUGAAUAUUGGAGUAUUGAUGAUGGGGUAAUAGCUAUAGGGGGAACACACACUGAUGCUAUUGUGAUGUGUGUGAUAAGAGAGAGAGGGAGUAAAGAGAUACUACUGAUAGGGGGAAUGUUGGUGUAUGUGUAGAUGUAGUUACUCUAAAUCUAAAUGAAUUUUGAUGCUUCGUGGACAUGGUUUUUCAUUAUCAUAAAGGGAAAAAUUAUUGUCUCAUGUUUUGAUUAUGACUGAAUGAUAUCAGAGGACUAGGUACCUCGCCUACUUUGCCCAGGUACAUCUGUCAUACUCUGCACAAUUUUAUCCACUAGUACAAUAAUUGUGCAGGUGCACCGCAUACCAGAAUGGACUCCUGGUCCAAUCAAAAUUCUAUCACUCAAUUCUAUAUUACCAGAAAUACAUAAGGAUGCUCUUUCCUCUAUAGUUUUUGAAAGUUAAAGAACCUCAUGGUGGGGGCGAAAACUCUCUCUAAGAUCAAGUUCUAAUCUC
Molecule: long non-coding RNA, 46273 nt
Filed under: Capsicum annuum
Lineage: Eukaryota; Viridiplantae; Streptophyta; Magnoliopsida; Solanales; Solanaceae
Description: long non-coding RNA (CANN_LNC013773)
Source: RNAcentral